RNAcentral lists this long non-coding RNA (59895 nucleotides) under Ananas comosus (pineapple). RNAcentral's name for it is "long non-coding RNA (ACOM_LNC027808)". The record is from RNAcentral. Lineage: Eukaryota; Viridiplantae; Streptophyta; Magnoliopsida; Poales; Bromeliaceae.
AUUUUUAAAUUUUAACUCAUAUUUUAAUUAAAAAAGUUGAAAAAAUAAAUUUAAUCCGAAUAAAUAUCCAUUCCGUCCAGAUACAACUUCCAAUCCGGCCUCCUAGGCCGGAUUGAAAAAAAGGGUGAUUGGGGGAUUUCCAUUCCACUCGGGAAUCGGAAUCGGAAUCGGAAUGGGACUCCCGCGUACCAAACACCCACAAACAGAUUCACCCAUUCCGUUUCCGAUUCCGAUUCCAUGGUGAAAAAGAAGCGAACCAAACACGCCCUAAGAGUAAUGUUAAUGGUUUAUGUUUAUAACUGUGGCUUUGGUUUAUGGUUUUAUAACAAAUAUUUUUUUAUCUCUCGUGGUACUUGAUUUCAAAGGCUAAGUUUCUAUAUUGGAAACACUUUUUAAAUAGUUUUUUUUAAUUUUAUCGUAUAUCCUAGGUUUUUAAAAAUAAAUUUUUUCGGUAGAAAACUCUUUCAAAGAAGAAAGUUUUUAGUGGUUGAUGUACUGUACAUUCGUAUCAACUUCGCUAAGUAUUGGUUAGCUUUAUGAGCAUCUACGUGUUAGGAUUCCUCGUUGAUGGUUGUAAAUGGAAUUAUUUUUUUUUUUUGAGAGAGAGAUAGGUAGCACGCUACCCGCUUUGUUUAUUUCAUUUAGAAAUAAACUUAGCUGAAAAUGUGAAUCAACUAGGAUUCGAACUUGGGUCUCGGGUACCAACCACCAAGCCCUUUGCCACUUGCUCUAGGGACAAUCAGUUAAAUGGAAUUGUUAGUUGUAGUAAUAUAAUAGGUGGUACGUCAUGCAAAUACAGAGAAGACUAUUCAUGUGGAUAGAAAAAUCUUUAUAUUUGUGGCGAGUUUGUCCAUCCCGCGGGCAAAAGUGUGUUUUUUUUAAAAAAAAUUGGGCACUUUUUCGCUGGCAUUACUUUUCAAAUUGGACCUUUUUAUGAAAAAGCUUUACAAAAGGGCUUCAGGACAUGACAUUCAACCCCUCGACUUGCAAACCUAUUGGGAUGUUGUGGAUGUGGCCUACCAGUGGAAAAGGGGCGAAUUAGUGAUACGAUUGGAGUGCGGGGCUUAUGAGAAAGGCACGGAGAAGAACCGGUCGUGGAAUGGUUUUGGGAGGCCAAUCGAGUUCAAAGCAGCCUCUGAAGCACCUGCACUUAUAGUCACAAUUGUACGGGUCUUGAUGCUUUUAAUUUUUUUAGCCCAUGGAUCUACAUUUUAGGCUGUUGAAUUUUUUAGCCCUUAAAUUUAUAUUUUUGAAAAUUGGAGUAAAGUCAACAAUAGUGAUUUCUUGUGAGACCCACUAUUGUACAUAAUUUAAGGAUUUUAUAGUUGAUCCAAUAGCCAAAAAGAUUAUAAUACAAACACCUUAGUAUGUGUGUGUGUGUGUAUAUAUAUAUAUUCAAAGGUAAGGAGAACAUUAUUUUAUGAAUUUCAAUUAUUAGAUUAAGAUUUUAAUUUUUAAAUUUUUUUUCUAGCUCUUCGUUUAGUAGUGGGGCUGACGGUCUAACUUACUGUUCGUGAAUUAACUUGCGUUUGACUCAGCCCUAGUUAUUGGUAUGUUUGGGUCCAGCCGUUGCCUUGAUGGGCCCGACCCGAUCCAUUAACAUCCCUCGAUAAUUAAGCAUUACUAGGGAUGUCAAUGGGUCAGAUUCGGGGCGAAUUUUUAAAAAUUCAAAUCCGAACUUGACUCAAAACUCGAACCUGACGGAUUUUAUAAAUCCAUAUCCAAAUCCAAAUCUGACAAAAAAUUCAAAAUCCGAACCCGAACCCGAAAUAAUUAUUUUUCUUUUCAAUAUUUCAAAAUAUAUUACAUUAAAUCUAAAAUUUUAAAAUAUAAAUUUAAAUAUAAUAUCAAUAUAUAUUAUAUUAUAUAUAAUAUAUUAUAGUAUAUAUAUACUAUAUAAUAUAUAUAAGUUUACUGAGUACGUGGGCUACUAAUAGGCCUCUUAUGAUUGAUAAUAACUGAAAUUUUUCAUUUAUUGAUUAAUACCCUUUAGUAUUGAACGAUGUUCUUGUGUGUAAAUAAUUUAAAGUGUACUCCGUCAAUUUCAGAGAAAACGAGUUAAAACGGAGAAGUUACGCGGAGCACGCUAAGUAAUAUAACUCGCGAUUUUCCGAGAGGCCGCGGAGUAGAGUGGGACCUUUCGACGUAUCGGACUCCGAAUAUAGCCUUCCAAUACUCGUUUCGAACCUCUUCGACUAAAUACUGAUACCAUUGGCGUUAUUGCGGACAAACUUGGGUUUGAUAGCACGGUUGUCGAGAAAAAGGGUUGUAAAUGGUUUUUACACAUAUGAUUCAUAACCAUAAUGUGGUUUUUGAUGGAACCAGCAGUGAGGGUGUGGUUUUUGUCGGCAAAAUCGAGACGCUUUUCAACGAAAUGAACAUGCUAAGAAUUCCGAAUGCCCAGUCGUGCUGAAUCGACGGCGCAUCCUUCAGAAUCCAGACGGACGAUCUUCGGGAAUUCGCAAAAGUCGCCAUGAAGGGCUAUUUGACAAAAGGAUGAAAUCGGCGAAGAAGGCCCAAUCUAUUUUAAGUGCGCGCGUUUGUGCGAAGUUUUUUUCGAAACAUCCGGAGGGAACUGGUCAGUGCAACGUAGCACCUCCAACUGGUAGGGAGCUGGGUUCGAAAUCCUGGUCAAUCAUCGGGGUUUUUCCGUAAGGUUUAACUCUAGCGGGCGUGACAUAAAAGGAAUAUUUAGGCGUUCCGAGGUGAAACCCUAACCUCUAAUCGAACCUCCCUGACCCAGACCACCCUACCGUCAGCCCAGCUGAGCCCCCUGCCCUGUCGGUGCGCCUAGCCCGGCCUGCCCGGCAUGUGCUGCUGUCCCCAGCCGAACCCUCUACUGCAGCCUUCCCGGACCACCCUCUCGGUCCUACCUUUUAUCCUCCGCUCCUUGCGCCGAGAGCAAUGUGGGUGUCUCCCACCUCUGAAGAAGCCCGGCCGUGAUCCACACUCCAGCGCGGCCGUAGUGCGUCUCCAGCUCGCGGGCAUCCCGGACAAGUUGCUCGGAGUGCCGCCUGGAUGCUGCGGCCUAGCUCGCGGGUCAACCAGGCGAUCCGGGCCAACCUCGUCUGCGGCGCCGCCACACCAUUUCUCUGGUCCUUUCUGUGCCGCCCUCUGAUAUGCAGCUCGCACUCGGCGACUCCGCAAGUUACUGCCGCGCGCGCAUCCCCCCGCCGCGGACCUUGCGCGAGCUUCGUCCGGCCGUCGCGGACUUCCUGUGCUGCUCUUCCAAGCAGCUGCGGCCGAGGUCGGCCCCCGCGAGCUUCUAUGACGCUUGGCCUGCGCAGCCCACGUAGGUUGCACAGCCCCCUCCCGACCUCCGGCGCCGAAUCGUCGCCUUUGUUCCCUGGCACUUCCGUUGCCGACUCUUCCUGCCGGCCGCCCGCGAGGUCCGCCGGGAACUUAGAACCCGAGAGGGAGUUUGGGACGUAGAUUCUAGCCGCCGCGCCACGGGUUGCCGCCCGCUCCCGGCCUUCUUAUCUAUCUUCUCCCCCGACCCCCCUGAACCGAGUGCUCCCUCCUUACCGCGCGAUCCCCACCUCCUGCCGCCUGCCUAGGAACCAGCCCUAGAUCAUUCCUUUCGGUCUGGUAAGGGCAUGUUUACGCUUCAAUGUUUUUCGAGUUCCAUUGUCUCUUUUUCGGGUGAUCACGAGAAGCCCUUCUAGAGUCUCGGAAGUGAGCACGUGAUACUAUCGCAACUCGUGCUGAACAUCGUCGCUUCACCUCCAACUACGCAGCAAUGAUGCGUACCUGGUUCUUGUGAGUUAUUCGGCGAUCUUCAGCGCUGUGCGGCGCAGUCUUAUCGUGAUUUUCACAUCGUCGUAUGUCCGCGCACCAGCAGUGCCGGCAGUGUCUCCAAGGUGAGCACGGCCUCACGACAUGCUGAAACCGCGGUGUCACGAAGACACGUCGAUUAAUCGACCCCCUGGUUUGUGCACAGUCCAGAAAAGCCAGAAUAUCACAUUGAAAAUGAUGCAAUUCAUGUAUCGUAUUCGGCUUUAUUGCUUUCUGGGCUUCGUUGUAGUGCUGUGGACUAUGAAACGUGUAAUAUAACUCAGGGUAACCUUCUGGACGAUCGUUCAAGGUAGAACUUCCGAAAAGUGAUUUCAUGAUGCGUUUUUUUCGCGAAAAUCUGCCGAUAGAUACGCGGUUUCGUUCGAAUUUCAAUCCACGGGCCUCGUGUCUGGUAUUAUGGCUUCGCUCUGAGACCCUUGGUGCUGUCACAGUCAUGUUUCUAAUCUCCUGGUCUCCGCCGUCGUUUUGAGGUUUCGAAACACGACGGAGAGCGACGAGAAAGUUCCGGUGCAGGUGUUCGGGACUUCCGCUAUUCGGUUAAUGCGGAUUUUGGGAAUCGGCUCGUUGUUUGGUUAGCAGGGUUGUGAGUUAGCUUCUCCAUGUCAUAGGGCUUAGACCUUAACCCGUGACUUUCGUAGGUUCGGUGCACCGCGUGUCACAGUUGAAGAGAGCCUUCGUCGGAUACAUACAGGUGGGUACUUAAGACACGACGUUCGUACAGUGGUGCACCUCGUCUGAAUGUUCCUUCACACCCUCUCCUAAUUCUCACAUUUGCUAUUCAUAAUACUUUGCUUAUCAUAUUUAUCCCUCAGGUUAUUACUCUAAUCGUUGUUUGCAGUGCUGCGGUAAUCAUUGUGUAAGAGUAGAAGAAAUUUCUUUCAGCAUAUGAAUAUACUGUGAUGCUGGUUGUUGGUUCUCUUGUUGUAUCAUAAGACCUGGUUGGUCGACUUUCAUACUCCCGUAUUUGUGACCUCGGUUGGUCGUAUUCUGGAUUACAUGAUGACCCAUGCGGUCGAUGGUUGACCACUGGGGGAAAGGCCCAGAUUGUCGCUCUGUUGACCGCGUGUGAGUGAGGCAUACUGCAUUUGAUCGCCGAUACUCGUCGCAUUCACGAAACCUGGCGGUCUAUCCAGUCCGGCAAGUGAUGUUGCAUUUUCCGGAAAAAGCUGGUUAAAUGGUCGACAACCUGAGCCCUAAACGGUUAAUACACUUGGAGAGUAAAGUAUGUCAUUGGCCUUAGGUUCUGCGUGCUGGCCAACGCCAAAGAGAGCAGUGGUUUCAGAUUGGUACUUUUGGAAUUGAUUUGUCAGGCCGUGUAUCGCAAUAACAUUACAGUAGUGUAGUGUGUUCAUUAUACUACAUUUCAGCACUUGUUUUAUCUUAGCUACUGUACUAUCUAAAUUAUCGUCUAUAUUGUGUUCUAUUCUUCCGUGACUUAGUGAUACCCCUCGCUCCCCUUCCCGCUUGCGGUACCCAACUGGACGGAGGAGAACAUGUUUACAUGUUCUCACCCCCCCUAACCCCAUACAGUACCGGUACAAGUGUCCGAGUGGGAACCAGCUGUGAAGGAGCGUGUUCUACCGUGUGAUAGAAGCUCCUUCCCGAGUCGUUAUUCCUUUUAUACCCCUUCAUGCUCGAAUAAAUACUUAGAAAUAUUAAUGGUUCAAAGUUUCUAUUUUAAUUAUCUGAUAUUAUCUGGUUUUUCAAUUGGUUUUGAAAAUUAACUAUAAGGAUUUUGAGUUUUUCAUUGAAAAUAAAACAGUUUUCUAACCCCUCGUGGUUAUCUGGUUUGAAAAGGAAUGGUCUCCCCAGAGUGUGGGGAUAGUUUUUUUUAAACAUUGCAUUUCUCCUGUGGUUUUAUGGAUUUAUAUUCAAAAUCAGUUUCCAGGUCAAGAAGACAUUUAAUCUGAUAGAAUGUAGAAUGUUAUUCAUAUUCAGUUUCAUAUCUGCGUGUGUGAAAAUGAAUGAUGAAUAGUUAUCUAUCUUGUUUGUUGCAUNNNNNNNNNNNNNNNNNNNNNNNNNNNNNNNNNNNNNNNNNNNNNNNNNNNNNNNNNNNNNNNNNNNNNNNNNNNNNNNNNNNNNNNNNNNNNNNNNNNNGGAUGUAACUCUUUCCACAUCUUUUAAACAUAGGAGUUUCUUUUUCUCCUUUUUUUUUUAUUUUUCAACAAUUUCAAACUCCCCCUAAAUUAGACAAUCUCACAGUUGAAAAUAAUUUUGACGAAUUUUAGUCAAUUAGAGAAUAUCCAUUCAUCAUAUCCAACACUCACAACCAAGAUGAAUUAAUCACCAAAAAUCAAAUUUGAUUUCAAAAUUUUGAUGAAUUUAUGCAAUAAGAAAUCAUAUAUUAAUUUAUCGUCAAAAUAAUAAAAAGUGGAGUAAAACCGAUAAUUAAUAUGAAUUUAACUUAAUAUGAUUGUGAAGUUAAAACCCGUUUAAACAAUCUUAAAAAAAAAAAUCUUUCAUCAAAAUAAUGAUUCUCAACCAUCUCUUUUCUCGAAAAUUUUGAAUUCCCAAACACCUUUCCUCAACAUGAUUUAUAAAUAAAAAAAAAUUCAAUGCACCAAAAAUCAUUCAACCAUGUAACGCAAUGAAUAAAAUUAUGCAACAAGCACCAAUCAAAGCAUUACACUAAAGAUCAAAAACAACUAAGACGAGAAGAAAGGAAAGAUAUCACCUUUCCGAAUCCAAACUUGUCGGAUCUUUGGUUUUCUCGGCUUGUCGACGUUUGGUGCCGUUUGCUUAGAUUUUNNNNNNNNNNNNNNNNNNNNNNNNNNNNNNNNNNNNNNNNNNNNNNNNNNNNNNNNNNNNNNNNNNNNNNNNNNNNNNNNNNNNNNNNNNNNNNNNNNNNNNNNNNNNNNNNNNNNNNNNNNNNNNNNNNNNNNNNNNNNNNNNNNNNNNNNNNNNNNNNNNNNNNNNNNNNNNNNNNNNNNNNNNNNNNNNNNNNNNNNNNNNNNNNNNNNNNNNNNNNNNNNNNNNNNNNNNNNNNNNNNNNNNNNNNNNNNNNNNNNNNNNNNNNNNNNNNNNNNNNNNNNNNNNNNNNNNNNNNNNNNNNNNNNNNNNNNNNNNNNNNNNNNNNNNNNCCAAGCUAUUUAGGUGACACUAUAGAAUACUCAAGCUUAUUCGUUUGACCCAAUCCGAGCAUAUGAUCUAGUUUCUUUGAUCCGGAAGAAAAUCGUUGAAUGUCGGAUUGAAGUUGACGAACUUGAUUGGUCAAAGACUUGUUGGAUGUGUACGAUUCCUCGAAUUGUUGCUCCAAAAAUCCAACCUUGUCUUUGUAUGAUUUGAUCAUUAAUUCCGCUUCAUUAAGCUUCUCUUGGAGGUCCGAAUUGUUCUUCAAGCUUGAAUCCCUUUCCUCCUUAAGAACCUUAUUCAAAGUCUUCAUGUUGUUGUUUUCCUCCUCAAGUUCCAACAAAUGACGUCUCAACUUCUUAUUGAGUUUAGCCAUCUUCUUUGAUUCAAUAAGAAGUUGAUUGUAUGCUUCCGCUAUGUCGUCGUCGUUUGAUUCCUCUUCACUUUCGCCAUUGUUGCUCGAUGAAUCAUAUGAAAAAAGAGAAAUAUUGGAGUUAAUAGCAAAAGAGGAUAAACACACAACAUUCGACGAAGGAGUAUUAGCAAAUAAGGCAAUUUGAUCAUUCUUUUCUUCGUCACUUGACGAUGAUUCACUUGAUGUUGAAUCAUCCCACGUCUUUGCUUGCAUAGCCUUUUGUCUAUACGUCUUCUUUGAAGGACAAUCCGUCGCAAUGUGGCCGUAGCCUUUGCACUUGAAACAUUGGAUCUCGCCUUCAAAUACAUCCUUUUCCUUUGAGGACUUUGCACGGUUUUUAUCCUUAGACUUUAAAGAUGAAGAUGAUUUAGACAAAGAUUGUCGCUUAGAUGAUGAAGCCUUGUCCAAUCUAUUCUUGUUCCGAAAAUUUUGACGAAACUUCUUCGUAAGAAGCGCCAAUUGUUGUUCAAAUUCCGCAAUUGAUAAAUCAUCGUCGGAACUCGAGUCUUCGUCCUUCUCCUUUGUAGAUUUCAAUGCAACACCUGUACUUUUAGAAGAAGACUUGGAAGAAGAUUGAUUAGUAGGAAAAGUCAUCUCAUAAGUUUGCAAAGCACCUACUAAUUCUUCGACUUUCAUCUCGUCCGGAUGCUUAACCGUUUCAAUUGCGGCAACCUUUGCCCGAAAGUGUUCCGGAAGAGUUCGAAGAAUCUUUCUAAUAACCUUAGAAUCCGGAAUUUUCUCUCCCAAGUUAGCACAUGUAUUCACAACGUCUUGUAGACGUGUAUAGUACUCGGUAAAGGUCUCGUUUUUAUCCAUGGAAAUAGAAUCAAAAUUGCUUGUUAGCAUUUGCAAUUUUUGGACCUUUACUAAGCUCGUUCCUUCAUGCGUAACUUGUAGAGUAUCCCAAAUUUUCUUUGCCGUUUCGCAAGCCGAAACACGAGUAAACUCCGUUUGAGACAUGCAUUAAAUAAAGCGUUUAUGCCCUUGCCGUUAAACGAAGAUGUCUCGUUUUCUUCUUUCGUCCAUUUGUUCCGUGGUUUUGGCUUUUCAACAUUAUCGACCUUUUCUAUCGGAUGUUUCCACCCAAAUUCAAUUGAUUGCCAAACCCGCUCAUCGAUAGCAAUUAGAAAAGCUCUCAUGCGAACUUUCCAAUAGGCAUAAUUCGUGCCGUCGAAGAGCGGAGGUCGAUUAAUGUUACCACCUUCGGCCAUUAGAUAACAAUUUAUCUAGAUCCCGCUCUGAUACCAAUUGAAAGUUUUGAGGAGCCCAAGGAUCUAUCUAGAUUGUAUCUAUCACCUAGAGGGGGGUGAAUAGGUGAACGGCCAAAAACCACAAAUCUCGAUGCAAUAAAAAUAAAUGCGGAAAAUAAAAAGCACACCGAGAUUUACGUGGGAAAACUCCAACUUGGAGAAAAACCCACGGGACCAACACGCGAAAAAAUAAUUCACUAAGAGAAAAGAUUACAAGGUGAUUACCGACUCCACGGACUCAACCUCUCUUAACCUCCUAUGAAUCUUCGCGCUACCCUCCGGGUUGUCCACGCCCUCACGUCCGAAUCCACGAACGCCUCCACUUCGAAUCCACGAAGCUUCAAUCACGCCGAAUCCACGACGCCACUCGAAUCCACGAGCCCACGAUCCGAAUCCACGAACCGCCGUCAAAUACGCCGAAUCCACGACGCCACCAUGAAGAAUAUCAUGAAUAUGGUGAUCCUUCGCUUUGGAGUAUUGUAGAAAACCAGGGAAUAGAACUCCAAGCGAAGCGGAGAUCAAAUCGACAUAUUAAUAUCAAAUUUCAAUAUCUCGAUUUGAUCUAAAAGAGGCUUUUUGUAGAAAAUAGGUUUUUGAUGAAAUCCGAGCCUCUAGGGUUUCUCAAAUAUGUAUUUUCGUGAUGCUUAAUCAGUUAGAGAACCCCUAUAGCUUAUUUAUAGACUUUAGAAUCAAAACAGAGUAGGAUUAGAAAGUUUCUUUCCAAAAUCAGCACCUUGUACCGGAACAAGGAAAGCUGUCCAGGGUACAGCAUGACGGAAGAUUUUUCUGCGAAGCUUCUGUACCCUGGAUAGGCUUCAGCUUGUUCCGAAACAGGGCUUGUACCGGUACAGCCAUGAUGGUUGUACCGGAACAACCAUCAACCACUCAGCGCAAACACUGAUGGCUGUACCCUGGACAGAAAACUCUUGUAACGGUACAACAAUGCAAUUUUCGCUGAAAAUGCAUUGCUUCGGGUUUUACAAGCUCUUAGAAACUUUCUAAUUAAUUACAACUUGAAAACAUGAUUCUAAGAUUUAUAAUUAAGUAUGAAUCACUAUAAACAAGAUUUAAAGCUUACCUAAUCAUCAUGAUUCAUGUUUUACGUGUUUUGCGUCCUUUUCGAUUCUUCGAAGUCUUGGAUUCUUCGAUCUUCAAUACGCUACUCCGGACUUCUUCAUGACUCCGACUCGACCCACGAAACUUGCCAACACAUAGGACCUAACAACGAGGAUUGCGAAGCCACCUGGGAACUCGAGGAUCUGAUGAGAAAACACCAUCCUCAUCUAUUCGAGGAGUAAGGUAUGAAUUUAAGUUAAAGUUAAGAAUUGAGUUAGUUUCGAGGAUGAAACUCCUUUUAAGGAGGGAAGGAUGUAAGGAAGUGAAUUCUCGAAAUCCGAGGAUUGUACUUCAUCCAGGAUCGACUAACUGUCAAGAGACUAACUGUCAAGAGAAUACCCAUUGUGGGAGUUAAAAAUGUCUAAAUCACAAAAAGUGUUUUGGAGUUGAGUCCGCGAGAGCAAAUAAGCAAAAAUUUGAACUUAGCAGAUUUUGCUCUCAGGGACCGGUCCCCGUAGCUGAGGGUCGCGAGGGAGGUCGACGCAACCGGUCCCUGGUUGAGGGGACCGGUCCCCGUGUGCUACACCCGCGAGAGGAAGCCUAAAUUUGGCUAAGUCCUGAAAGUUCCCCUUUCGAGAACCGGUCUCUCAGGAAAGACCGGUCUCCCAGGGAUCGGUCCCUCGGGUCAGGACUGGUUCCCGUACGCGAAAAGUCCCCAGGCUGCAAGGAGGGCUCUCGGGGACCGGUCUCCCCGACCAGGGACCGGUCCCUCUGGGCGAAAAUAGCCUAGUGACAGCUGCGUGAGAGAUGAAAAGUUGAGAGGUUUAAGUGCAAAAUGGCCAUCAUGUGAGGGGUGUAUAUGGGAAAUAACCCUCUCCCUCAGCCCUUCUCAUCUCAUUCCCUCUCUAUCUCUUUUUCUCUCUUGCUCUCUCUCUCUCUCUAGAAAAGAAAGGAGAAGAAGAAGAACAAGAAGGAGAUGAAGGAAAAGAAGAAGAAGAUAAGGAAGGAGAAGAAGAAGGAGAUCAAAAGGAAGGCUUUUGACACCUUCAUCUCCCUCUCCUUUUCUCUUUGGUGUAGCACAAGAGGUAAGCUCUUGAACCCUAGCUUCUAGAAUUUGGUGGGUUUUGGGUUUUUAUGCUUUGGAAUGGGUCAAAUGGACCCUAAGCAUGCUUCUAAGUAGAUCAAUCCCAUGAAUCUAGGGAUUUAUUGGUGGUUUGCUAUAGGUGUAAACCUAGGGCUCCAAAAUGGGGUUUUUAUGAAAGUAUGAGAUUGAUCUCAUUUGAAGCCUUGGAAACCCUAUUGUUAGGUCACAAAAUGUGGAGGCGAAGUCGGUUUUGGCAUUCGGCGAGCCGGCGUGAAGUUCUCGGCAAAAUAGGGCCGGGUUAGCAUUGAUUUGGGCAAGAAAGGCUAAAGCCUUUUCAUAAAGUUCCCCGAGAAGGAUUUCCGAAGCCUCUACAUCAAUUAAAGGUGGGGGGUGCCAUUCUGAAGCUUUCGAACUCCUUUCUAUGUCUUAGAUUGCAUUUAAUCUCAUCUCUUACAUGUUGCAUUGUAGGAUUGCAUAGUAGCUCCCUUCCUUAUGCUUUCUAAAUGAUAACCUAGUGUACUUGGAACGCUUGGUGACUUAGAUAGGUGAGGAUUGGGUCGGAACGUGGAUCUUAUGAUGCAAAAGAAAAGAGAUGUACCCGAUGGGGGUGUUGAUGACAUAGGAAGUAGUGUUAAUGUUAAAGAACAAACGAGUGGCAUCCAAAUGUUAAAUUAUGACGAGUGGCAUUAAUGUAGUGUAAGUAACACUAGAGGUUUGAGGACCUAGGGAUGGAUGGAUCCCUUAGAAAAUGCCUUGUGGAUAAAGAACUUAAUAAACCUAAGUGUCCUCACGUGGAGAGGUUGUCGAUGAGUCGAUUGAGACAUUGACCCUAGUUGUAGGGCAUCCUCACUUGGAGAGGAUUUGAUUGGGUUGUGGACCCUAGUUUAUAGUGCUUCCUCACUUGGAGAGGAUUUGAUUGGGUUGUGGACCCUAGAGGUAGGGCAUCCUCGAUAGAUCUAGCCACAGUCUGCGUUUGGGGUGGUAUAGCCAUCCAAUCCCCACAUGGAGGGGAUUGUCGUCGAGUACUCCGGAGUGUCGCGCGACUAGGACCACUUGGAGGUCCAGACCACAUGGAGGUCCACAGACGGUCCCGGGCUUGGGUGCACUUGGAGCUCCCUCCCCACUUUGGAAUUGAAGGGUGAGUUAUAGGCGAGCCCUAGGGCCUCGCCACAGAUUGGAUAAAUGGAAGGUUAAAGGUUUAACAAUGUCAUUGAACAUUACUAUUCGAAUAUGGAUCGAAUUUGUUAGCAUGGUAGCAAACCUUUAUUAUAUGAUGCAUGCAUUCAUAUUCAAGAUUAUGGGCAUAGUAGCAUAGUUUUCCUAUUAUCGCAUUUAUAAUUUUCAGAUACAUAUCUAUCUAUCUAUCUGUUGUUACUUGUGCCCACUUGGACCUAGUGGGGAGAUCGGUAAAGUCGGCGGCCGAGCCCACUGGGAACUUGUAGCACACUCGACCUUUGCAAAUUGCGAGGUUCGAGUGAUUGGAUGUGUUUCGAGCUUUUCCACACUUGGUGGAGGGUUGUAGAAUGCUUUUCCGACCAAAAAAGUUUGAAAACCUGAGUUCUGGAUGAGUCCUGAGAGUUUAUACUCUCGGGGACAGGUCCCUGGAAGGAGAGACCGGUCCCUCAGUGAGCAGUGUUACGGCAGCCCUGAGGCAACCGUUCCCUGGCAGGCGAGACCGGUCCUCGGCAGGCGAGACCGGUCCCCGAGCGCACCUUCACAGUGAGAGACCGGUCCCGCGCAGGGAGAGACCGGUUCCCGAACGUUGGUUUUUCGGGUUCGCGGCCAGAGACCUGUCCCUGCUGGGCAAAGACCGGUCCCUCUAGGCAAAAACUGCCCAGUUUGGGCUGAUGCAAUUUUAGAUUUUUGAGGGACCUAGCUGGAUUUUGUUACAUUAGAGGGUCUAUAUGAACCAUCCCCUCUCUCUUCUUCUCAUUUCCCUCCUCACACUCUCCCCACACCCUUAUUAGAGAGAGAAGGAGAAAGAGAAGAAGAAGGAGGAGAAGAAGAAGAAUGAGAAGGUUUUGGUGGACUUGGAGCAUUUCUUUGCCUCUCUUCCUCUUCCCACCUUGUUGGUGCUUGAAGGCUUGGACUUGGAGCUUGCAUAGGAGGAGAUCUUCACCCUUUGAGCUUGGAUUGAAGCUUCUUAGAGGUUGGUAGCCCUUUCUCUCCAUCUAGACUUUGGAUUUGAGGCUUUCUUUGUGUUGGAACCCUAGAAUGAGGUUUAGGGUUGAUUUUGGGGCUUUUUGAUCUAGGGCUUUUGAGGCUUACGAUUGUUGUUUAGAACGCUUCCUUGGCUUGGUUGAAGGGUGCUAGCUUCUCUUUUGGAGGCUUUGGAAGAGAUUUCUUCUCUUGAGGUGAGUUUUGCCUUUUUGCUUCUCUAGGUUAAGUUGAUCUUAUGUUUGUCGUUAUGCCCCUCGUAAUCCUUCGCUGAUCACUUUUAGGGUACUUUAAGAUCGUGGACAACCCGUCGGCAAAUCGAAGGGGCACCGCGACGGUUGUCGGUGGUGUUUCGACUGCCUAAUGAUUGAGAAAUGCUCCAUAUUUGGCAAAAAUAUGUUUCGUAAAAAAUUUUAAAGUAACAAAUUCCAUGGACAUUUCCAUGUUAAUGUAUUUAAUAUGAAUUUUAGAAUGCUUACAUAGCAUAUUUAUGUAUAGUGAAAUUUAUAGACGGCCCUAUGUUGCUAGUGCAUGCUACUGAGGAACUUAGCAUUCGUUAUUUUAGGACCAUGAUCCUUAUUAUGUAAAUGAAACUUGCUUUCCAUUCAUUUAACUACUAAUUGCAUAUUGUGACAUUAGAAAUGUUAGAAGGCCCUAGAGAUGGGCUUGAGACUUGGACUAUUGAGAAUUGGACAAUGUGAUAAAGAGCUUGGCCCGGGUCAUGGUAUCAUUGGGUUUGAUGUUUUAAGUGGAAACAUAGAACAAGAUUUGGGCUGAUCUGUUGUUGAUACUAAGUGGUCAUAAAGAGAGCACUAAGCAAGUGAGUGUUGGGACAUCACUUAGAGCAUUGGACAGAUCCUUGGCGAUCUAGUGACCUUGCAUGUUAGAGACAUGGGAUAGGAGUAUUUGAGACAGUGACCUUGCUGUUUGCCAUUGUGUGCUCAUUCGCAUCUAUGUUGUGUGGUCGUCUACGCUACAAGCGGCACCGGAGUUAGCCUACGCGACUUAUGUCGCUUGUGAUGUUUUGUAGAGAACCUACGGCGGUCGAGGGGGACAGACACAUUCAAGAGUAGGAAUGUUGGGCUACCGAGCACUAAGCGGCACAAGCUGGACUACUUUGGUAGUCCUUAUUGAAAAUGGAAUCGACACGGUGGUGAGUUUAUUAUGAUCAUACUAACAGAGAGUAGUAGUAAGGAUUACUUGGCUUCGCUUCAGAUUAGUUUGUGACAUUUGGCGUAUUCAUACUACAUGUAGUAUGCCCUAGGAGAUGUUUGUUUAUUGAUCCUUUAUGGCAUUGUAGUUAAUGACAAAAGUAUCAUUUCUAUCUAUAUAGUAGAAAUUCAUGAAUAUUACUUGUGAAGCAUAGAUAUAUUAUCCAUGGACAAGAUAAAGUCGCUAUUAUUAAAUGCCCUGUUUAAUUGAAUGCAGCUUAGAAUCUUAAUUAUGCCUUUCUUGUAUGCAAUUUACUGUUUACUAUUAUGUUAGACUUUACCCUUUCUUUGGGGGCCUAGUGUGGCAUUGAGUGAAGGUCAGUAAUUUGCACCCUGGGGAACUAUAAAUUAGAGUUCUACGCCCUCUUUUCUCAAUAUUUUUUCAGGCCCUUCAGGCAGACGGUGAGCAGUAUCGCGGGAAGGGAUGUUGUGCUUCCGAGCUAAGCUUCGUUCGAGGACCAGAGUUGAUAGGUGGUUACGUCUACCUUCUCGAUAGAUAUUUUAUUUUGCCAGAGGUUGAGGUUUACAUGUACUAGAGACCAACCAUUUUUGUACUUUUUGAUAUGAUAUGUACUAUUAUGGUUUCUUUUAUUGUCUAAGUUAUAUUUCUUUUACUACUGGUUUAAGAUGAUAGAACCUCUUAUUCGUCUUGAACCAAAUUAAUCUGUCACGUCCGGGACGCGGCGGGCCUCCGGUGGCGUGCCCAAGCACCCGCAUAUGUCUACACAUAUGGAAGCGCUACAACAAAGCGGAAGUAAAAGAAGCAAAUAGAAGAACUGAUAAUAACAAUUGCUAAUUCUCCGUCGAUUUUCGAACUUAGCGCAUCACACCAAACGUUAGCCUUUGGCCGGCGGUGGUAAUGAAUGUUGUGAGUUGUCGUGGUUUGUGCUAGAAUGUUCUUAUUGCAACAGGUGAAGGCGGAGACCGGAGUUCCUAGGCGGGGAAUUUACAGAGCCUACUUGUCUAUUCAAUGUGGAAAUGGGAAAGAUACAUGGAUUUGUGAUGGGAUUUGCCUCGCUUCACAGGUGCGCGGGCGUGAACUAUUUGGUGAUUGUGAGUAGAUUUACGGAAAUGGCCACAUUUAUACCUAUUCCACACUCUUGGACGGGUGAAAGACUCGCACAGGUUAUAUUGGACGAGAUUGUGGGCGAUUACACGGGUAACGUACUUCGUAUAGUAUCGGACGAGACCCCAUUUUGUAUCCAUUUUUGAGGAGCUUACAGGUGUUUGGUGACGCUUGGAUUCAGCAUCUGCUUUCCACUCCAGAGUGACAGGCCAGUCGGAGGUACGAUACAGAGAUUCGAGGACAUGUUCAGCUUGCGUGAAUUGCUUCCAAGAAGGAUGGUCGCAGCAUCUCGAUGGCAGAGUUUGCUUUAUCAUAACACAGUUUCAAGCAAGUAUCAGAUGCACCGUUCGAGCGCGACUCUUUGGACGGAAGUUGGUAUAGAUCGCCACUUCAUUGGCAGUGAAGUUGGACGAGAGUGUUAACUUAGGCCCAGAUGUGCUCCAGGAGGCAGAGGACAAGAUGCGCAGUUGCUGGAGCGAUUAGUUAAGCCCAGAGUAGGCAGAGGCAGUUAUGGCUGCCCGGCGUCGACGAAUUGGAGUUUCGAUUGGAGACGCAUGUGUUCUUGAAGUACUCGCGCCAAAAGGUUAGAAGAUUUGGAAUCGGGCAAGUUGAGCCCCCGAUACCAUUGGACGUGUGAUGAGUUUUGGAGCGUGUAGCCCGGUCUAGCGUUCGACUCGCUUCUACCGCCAACCUAUCGGUGUACACAAUGUGUUUCAUGUAUCGUCUUCGAAGUACUCACGCGCGCUCAUGUCUUUGGACCCUGACGCCUUUGAGUGAGGGAGGACUUGAGCUUGUAGGAGCAACUUUGCGGAUUUGCUCGCGAAGUAUCGAGAUUGCCCCGUACGGUGAGAUUCUCUUACAUGAAGGUGGCUUUGGAGCAACCUCCUACGACGACGCGAGGUCACUUGAGGAGCUGGAAGCGCACUGAGGGAGCGGCUAUCACCCAUCUUUUUCCUGACAUGGAGACUUGAGCGUACUUGUCAUUUAUUCGAGUUUCCGCGGACAGAAACUCCUUUUUAGGAGGGGUGAAUGUACACACUGGACCUUUGCAAAUUGCGAGGUUCGAGUGAUUGGAUGUGUUUCGAGCUUUUCCACACUUGGUGGAGGGUUGUAGAAUGCUUUUCCGACCUAAAAAGUUCGAAAACCUGAGUUCUGGAUGAGUCCUGAGAGUUUUUACUCUCGGGGAUUGGUCCCUGGAAGGAGAGACCGGUCCCGCAGUGAGCAAUGUUGCGGCAGCCCUGAGGCAACCGGUCCCUGGCAGGCGAGACCGAUCCCCGAGCGCGCCUUCGCAGUGAGAGACCGGUCCCGCGCAAGGAGAGACCGGUUCCCGAACGUUGGUUUUUCGGGUUCGCAGCCAGAGACCGGUCCCUACUGGGGAGAGACCGGUCCUUCUAGGAGAAAACUGCCCAGUUCGGGCUGAUGCAAUUUUAGAUUUAUGAGGGACCUAGCUGGAUUUUGUUACAUUAGAGGGUCUACAUGACCCAUCCCCUCUCUCUUCUUCUCAUUUCCCUCCUCACACUCUCCCCACACCCUUGUUAGAGAGAGAAGGAGAAAGAGAAGAAGAAGGAGGAGAAGAAGAAGAAUGAGAAGGUUUUGGUGGACUUGGAGCAUUUCUUUGCCUCUCUUCCUCUUCCCACCUUGUUGGUGCUUAAAGGCUUGGACUUGGAGCUUGCAUAAGAGGAGAUCUUCACCCUUUGAGCUUGGAUUGAAGCUUCUUAGAGGUUGGUAGCCCUUUCUCUCCAUCUAGACUUUGGAUUUAAGGCUUUCUUUGUGUUGGAACCCUAGAAUGAGGUUUAGGGUUGAUUUUGAGGCUUUUUGAUCUAGGGCUUUUGAGGCUAGAUUGGUUGGUUUAGAACCUUCCUUGGGCUUGGUUUGGAAGGGUGCUAGCUCUCUUUUGGAGCUUUGGAAGAGAUUUCUUCUCUUGAGGUGAGUUUUGGCCCUUUUUGCUUCUAGGUUAAUGUUUGAUCUUAUGGUUGGUCGUAAUGCCCUCGUAUCUCUUCGCUGAUCACUUUUAGGGUACUUUAAGACUCGUGGACAACUCCGUUCGGCAAAUCGAAGGAGCACGCGACGGUUCGGUGGGUUUGACCUAGCCUAUGAUAUGAGAAAUGCUCAUAUUUGGCAAAAUAUGUUUCGUAAAAUAGAAAUUCAUGCAUUUCCAUGUUAAAUGUAUUUAAUAUGAAUUUUAGAAUGCUUAACAUGCAUAUAUUAUGUAUAGUGAAAUUUUAGACCCCUAUGUGGUAGAGUGCAUGCAUGUGAGACUUAGCAUUCUAUUUAUGAUUGGGAACCAUGAUCCUUAUUAUGUAAAUGAACCUUGCUUUCAUGUAUUUAACCUAUAUGCCAAUUGUGACAUUAGGAAUGUUAGAAGCCUAGAGAGGGCUUGAGAACUUGGACUAUUUGAGAAUUGGGACAAUGUCAUAAAGAGGCAUUGGGCCCGGGUCAUGGUAAUCAUUGGUAUUAAUGUUUUAAUUGAAACAUAGAACAAGAUUUGGGCUCGAUCUGUUGUGAUGCUUAAGUGUCAUAAAGAGGCACUAAGCAAGUGAGUGUUGGGACAUCACUUAGAGACAUUGGGCUAGAUCCUUGGGAUGCUAGUGACCUUGCCAUGUUAGAGACAUGCGGAUAGAGUAUUUGAGACAGUGACCUUGCUUGUUUGCCAUUUGUGCUCAUUCGCACAUGCUUGUGUGGGUCGCUCCCUACAAGCCGGCACUCCGGAGUUAGCCUACGCGACUUAUGUACGCUUGUGCUGUAUUGAGAAGCCUACGGGGUCGAGUGGGACAGACACAUUCCAAGAGUAGGAAUGUUGGGCUACCACAGGCACUUAGGCGGCACAAGCUGGACUACCUUUGGUAGGUCCUUAAUUGAAAAUGGAAAUCGACACGGUGGUGAGUUUAUUAUGAUCACUACUAGACAGAGAGUAGUAGUAGGAUUACUUGGACUUACUUCUAGCAUAGUUGUGGACAUUUGGGUAUUCAUACAUACAUGUAGUAUGCUAGGAGAUGUUGUUUAUUGCAUCCUUAUAUGCAUUGUAGUAAUGACAAAGUAUCACUUUCAUAUCUAUAUAAAGUAAAUCAUGAUAUUACUUGUGAACAUAUAGAUAUAUAUUAUCCAUGACAAGAUAAAGUCGCAUUAUAAAUGCCAUGUUUAAUUGCAAGUCGUAGCUUAGCAUCUUAAUUAUGCUUUCUUGUAUGCAAUUUACUCGUUACUAUUAUUGUUAGACUUACCCUUUCUUUUGGGGCCUAGUGGUACAUUGAGCUGAGGUCAGUAAUUGCCCACUGGGAACUAUAAAUUAGAGUUCUCACGCCCUCUUUUUCUCAAUAUUUUUUAGAGCCUUCCACGCAGGGUGAGGCCAGGGAUCGCGGGAAAGGAGUUGCUUCGAGCUAGCUUCCUUCGAGGACGAGUUGCUAGGUGGUCUACCUCUCGAUAGAUAUUUUUAUUUUGCGAGAGGUUGAGGGUUUUACCAGUGUACUAGAGACCACCAUUUUUGUACUUUUGAGAUUGAUAGUGUACUACUUAUGGUUUCUUUUCUUGUCUAGUUAUAUUUCUUUUACUCUGGUUUAGAUGAUAGAACCUUACUCGCUCUGAUAUCGUUAGUUGUUAUUAUUCUAUUCGUUCUAUUUCUUGCUUUUACUUCCGUUUUGUUGUAGACGCCUUAUAUGUGUAGACAUAUGGCGGGUCUGGGCAUGCCACCGGGAGGGCCUCCGCCGGUCCCGGGGCGUGACAGAACUUUGGAAGAUAGUUCUCACCCAACUCUAUUUCUAGUGGUAGGUACAAGGCUGCCGAGGGAGGACCGUGGCAAGGGCAUCGCGCCCGAUCAGUGAGACCGUGGUAGUAUAGUAGCUUUUCUUUUUGCAUUAGUAUACCUAUGUAUUGAGAGAGAUUCAUUGUAGGUGAGGACUUGGAGAGCUAUGCAUUUUGAGAGGAAAAAUGUACUCAUUCAAAGGUUAAAUGAUGUAAAUACAAAUGAUGAAAUUAUUGUAAUAGUUAGUAAAGUACUCUCUUUAUUUCACAUGCUUUAUCUUGUGGAUUACUUGCUCUUUGUAUUGUUGGCACUGUUUGUGCCCUUGUGAAUGUGUAUGUUUAGAAUUUGAUUUUCUUGGUAAAUUCUUGUACACAUUCUUGUUGUUGAGCCUUGGGCGGACAGGGGAGGUGCUGUCCAUUCGGCAAUCCGCCGCCGCGGCCGAACCGUGCCAAAUGGGUAGUAGUUUCGGGGCGGGGCGUGACAGUUGUUGCUUUUGAGUUUCGCGGACGAAACUCCUUUUUAGGAGGGGUGAAUGUAACACGCUGGACCUAUGCAAAUUGCGAGGUUCGAGUGUUUGAUAUGGAUUCCGAACUUUUCCAUACUUGGUGAAAGGUCGUAGAUAGAAUUCCAGCCUAAAAGUUCGAUUUCUGAAAUUUUGGCUAAGCCCUGAGAGUUUUCACUCUCGGCGACCGGUCCCAGGUAGGAGAGACCGGUCCCCUCAGAAUAGUGUUACGGCAGUCUGCGAGGCAAACGGUCCCUGGCGGAUGAGACCGGUCCCCGAGCGCAUUUUCGCGGGGAGAGACUGGUCCCAUACGGGGAGAGACCGGUUCCCGAGAGCAGGUUUUGCGGGAUGGACCUGAGAGACCGGUCCCAGGCAGGGAGAGACCGGUCCCUCAGCCCGAAAACUGCCCAGUCAGGGUAGUGCACAGGUUGCAUUGUUGAGGGGCCUAAGUGGACUUUGUUGCUUGAGAGGGCUUAUAGGACAUUUCCUCUCCCUCUCACCCUCAUUUCUCUCCCUCACCUCUCUACACUCUCUAGAAAGAAAAGAAGAAGGAGAAGAAGGAGUAGAAGGAGAGCAAGCUUGGAGGCCUUGGAGCAUCUCCCUCUCCCUAGUUUCUCACCUUUGGUGGCUUGGAGCUUGUGGUUGGAGCUUUGUGGAGGAUCAAUCUUCAACCCUUGAGGAUUUUGAGCUUGGUUUGGAGCAUCCUAGAGGUAAGUGGCUAGUUUUCUUCCUCUAGAUCCUAGUUUUAGUGGAUUUUGGGAGAUAAAACUCUAGAUUUGAAUUUUAGGGUUUAUUUUAGGGAUUUUUAAUUUGAGGGCUUUGGGACCCAAUUGAUUGGUUUAGAACCUUCCUCUAGAUUGGUUUGGAAGGGUUCUUGCUCUCUUUAGAAGCUUGAGAAGGGAUUUCUACACAAGAGGUGAGUUAUGCCCUCUAUACCUAGAUGGUUAAAGAUUGAGCUUAGUAUUAUUCGUAAGGUCCAUUUGACUCUUGUUCCUACAUCUUUAGGGUGCUAGGAGACUAGUGGGCAUCUUCGUCGGAGCACACGAAAGGUUUCGUGAAGUCGCGGUGGGUUUGGCUUCAUUGGAAUAGGAGAAAACUUCUCCUAAGUGGUUCAAUAUCUUCGUUUCAUCGCAUCGCAUAUAUAUUCAUGCUAGAUAGAAUUUAUGUGAAUUUUAGAAUGCUUAAAAUGCACGUGUUAUGUAUUAUGAAAAUUCAUCUUUAUAUAGUAGAGCCUUAUGUGGACUUAACAUGCAUGUGAAUAGCAUUCUUCUUGUGGUUUGAAAACAUGUCUCAUAUGACGAAAAUGACUUGAAUUAUGUAUUCUUGAACACUAAACUCAUGAUUGGACUUAGUGGACGAAAGUGCCAUAAAGGGGCACUUGAACUAGUAAACUGUGAAACUGCAACAUAGAGGCAUGGAAAUAGGCCAUUGUGACAUCGACUAUAUUCCGUGUUUUAGACACGAUGACAUAGUGAUAAGCCAUUGAGACAUAGGUUAUAUUCCAUAUUUUAGACAUGAUGACUUGAGACUUGAGACAGAUUUUACGCUUGCUUGCCCUUGUGCUCAUUCGCACAUGCUUGUGAGGGUCGCUCCCUACAAACCGGCACUCCGGAGAUAGCCAUCGCGACAUAUGCUCGCCCGUGCGGGAUUCGGCGCCUAAAUGGAUUGCCGUGGGGGGGGCUCGUUCCUAGAGUGGGAAUGUUGACUACCACGGGGCCAUUAGGCACGGCACAAGCCAGACAGCCUACGGGUGGGUCUUACAAGAUUGCAACUAUAAGUAGUUGGUAUGCCAAAUGGACUUGAACUAGAAUAGUAAACAAUGACAUCUUACUAUUUUCGUUGUGGACAUUAUGUUGGUUGCAUACUCAUGCGUAUUCAUGUUAGCAUAGCUUUCUUACUUAUGCAAAUCAUGCUAAGUAGAGACAUCAUCUUAUAGCCAGCAUUCAUGUUUAGUUACUUGCUGUUCAUUUCAAUAUUUACUCACUUCUACUUACUUGCCUUGUUUUGGGCCUAGUGGUGCUUUUCACUGAAGUCAGUAAUUGCCCACUGGAAACUAUUAUUUAAUAGUUCUCACGCCUCCUGUUUUAUGGUUUUAUUUCAGAGCCUUCGGCACCGGCGGAGGCACGGAUUCGCGGCAAGGGAGUCGCAUAGCUAGAUAGCAGAGCUUGCUGUUGCUCCUAGGUGGUCACUCUCUUCUUUUUGGUUUUGUGAGAGAGAGAGUUUUGUUACCAUGUAUAGAGACUACCCAUAUUUUUAUGUUUAGCAUUUGUAUUUGGGAUUCUUCUUGUACUACUUCAUGCUUUUAUCUAGUGGACUUUCAGUUUUAUGUUGAUUUCUUUUAUUGUUGCUCAUAAGAUACACUUUGCUCUGAUACAGCUAGAUGUUUUCUCUCUUCUUGCCGUAUUUAUCAUUUUGUUUUAGACGCCUUAUAUGUUUUAGACAUAUGGCGGGUCUGGGCAUGCGCUGGGCGGGCUUCCACUGGGUCCCGGGGCGUGACAGAGUGGUUGUGUCGGCGGCCGACGACAUGACGCUAAGAGCCUGGAAUGAGAACGCAUGUGUACUUCCGCCCGAUUUUAUUGUCAAGCUAUUUCGUUUCGUAAUUGCGACGGCAUUAACGGGUUAAAUAAUUAACCAAAUGUUUGCGUUUCAGGAGCUAAUGGCACCGAAGAGACGCUAUGUUCGUAGGACCGCUCCGGCACCCCCUCCUGAGGUGCCAGAGCCAGCCGUGCCUCCUGUGGCGCCAGAGUUGGCUGGGCCUAGUGAGGUGCAGGAGUUGCGAGCACAAGUUGCCACACUAGCUGGACGGUUCGAUCGGCUCCAGGGGUUAUUGGAGCAGCAAGCAGCGGCGGCGGCCGCGGCAGCAGGUCAAGGUCGUGAUCCGCCCGCGCCUUCGGCUUACGCUCCUGAUGCGGCAGAGGGUGAGGGUGCUACGGCGGCACCGGUGGAAGUGCAACCCGCGCCGGUGGACAUCCCUCCUACGGCGUCGAGUUCUCCUACGCCCAAUGUGGCGACUGAGGAGGUAGAGCGAGAGCGUGGUUACAUGGCUCUCACAAGGUUUACGAAGUUCUAACCGCCCACGUUUAAUGGAGAAGUGAUCCACCCGCCCACGUUUGAUAGAGAAGUGAUUGAUCCUUGGACAGUGGAGACUUGGUUGGCCACGAUGGAGACCCUGUUCGAGGACAUAUACACUCAGGAGCAGGAUAAGGUGAAUUUGGCCGCGCAUUGCUUCGAUAAGCGGGCCAGGGUGUGGUGGAAGAGAGUAAAGCAAGAUCAAUCUCCGGAUCUUCCCCCGAUCAAUUGGGAGGAAUUCCGAAGAUUAAUGUUUGCGGAGUACUUCCCCGACAGCAAUAGGAGGAAGAUGAGGGAGGACUUCAGAAAGCUUAAGCAGGGUAAUCGCACGGUUCGGGAGUAUGAGCGGGAGUUCACCUAUCUCCUGAAUACGUCCCGGACGUGGCGAGGAUGGAGCAAGAUCGGGCUGAUUACUUUGUAAGGGGACUCCGACCCUGAGUGUUUCGGUUGGUUCAUGCCUUCAAGUUUCACACUUUUGCGGAGGUUUUAGACUGCGCUUUGUGGGUUGAGCACGGGAAUGCUUGCGAGCGAGAGGAUCGCGAGGCGUUCGAAAAGGAGAAGGGAAAGAAGUGACUUCGUGGUGGUUCGGGGGGACAGUCGAGUUCCAGGAGGCCCCCGAAGUAUCCACGAUCUCAGUCUAAGGGCCGUGGAGCGCAAUGGUGUAUCUUUUGUGGCGAAGAUCAUCGAGCUGGAGUGUGCGAGCAGAGGCGUGGGAGGUGCUUCAAAUAUGGGCAAGCGGGACACAUUGCACGAGAAUGCUCCGCUGGUGAGGUUUCCCCCGCCCCGUCUGUCGCGUUAGCUCUGGCGAUCCCGACCCGCUAUGGGGUUCCACCUGCUGCGACUUCCGCGGAGCGCGCGUUAGCGCCAUGCCAACCUGAACCGGCACGAUCCGCUCCGAGCGGAUUGAUGUUUGCCGCUUAUGUUCAAGCCGAGAAGCCUGCUGAGGCGGAGGAGCAUCGCUUUGUGGCAGGUAUGGUUUUGAUUAACGGAGUUCGCUCUAGGGCUAUGUUUGAUACAGGUGCCCCACAUUCAUUCAUCAGUAGAUCAUUUGCACGCAUGCAUAACAUACUAAUAGAGGCGAGUGACGGAAAGUGGCGAGUAGAGGACCCUGGGCCGGCAUUUAACACCUAUACAGAGUGUUCAUCGUGCCCAGUGCAAAUAGGCGACUGGAUAAUGCCUAUCCGGAUGCUGGAACUCAAGAAAUUGGAGGAGUUCGACAUCAUUUUGGGCAUGGACUGGCUCUCGAAGUAUUAUGCAACGAUCGAUUGUAAGAGUAGAAUGAUCACAUUUCGAGAGCCAGGAUAGAAGGAGUUCGUCUAUCGGGCCUGUCAAAGCUCGUGCUUCGCCGCGACAGUAUCGGCGACGAGGGCUAGGAAGUUGGUUAACAGCGAUUGCCCAGCAUUUUUGGCGACUAUUGUGGAAGUGGACCGAGUGGCUCCAGCUUUAGAGGAGCUGUUAGUCAUGCGGGAAUUUCCAGAUGUAUUUUCCGCGGAGUUACCAGGAAUGCCACCGGACCGGGAGAUCGAGUUCAUGAUAGACUUGGUUCCCGGGACCGCGCCGAUCUCGAAGGCUCCGUACCCCAUGGCGCCGGCAGAGUCAAAGGAGUUGAGGGAUCAGUUACAGGAUCUUUUCGACAAGGAGUUCAUAAAGCCGAGCGUAUCGCCAUGGGGAGCUCCGGCGUUAUUUGUGCGCAAGAAAGACGGCUCGUUUCGACUCUGCGUGGAUUACCGCGAGUUGAACAAGGUCACUAUAAAGAACAAGUACCCGUUGCCCCGAAUCGACGACUUAUUUGAUCAGUUACAGGGGUCGUGAGUGUAUUCAAAGAUAGACCUGCAAUCCGGCUACCACCAAUUGAAGAUUAAGCCGGAGGAUGUGCAAAAGACCGCGUUCCGCACGUGGUAUGGGCACUACGAGUUCACAGUGAUGCCAUUCGGGCUUACAAAUCCCCCGACUGCGUUUAUGGAUCUGAUGAACCGGGUGUUCAGGGCGUGUUUAGCCCGAUUUAUCGUGGUCUUCAUUGACGACAUCUUGGUCUAUUCACGGAGCGAUAAGGAGCAUGCGGAGCAUUUGCGCAUUGUGCUUCAAAUCCUUCGGGAGGAGAAGCUAUACGCAAAAUUGAAGAAGUGUGACUUCUGGCUCCGAGAAGUUGCUUUCCUAGGGCACGUGAUUUCCGAGGGCGGUGUUUCAGUUGACCCGAGGAAAGUUGAGGCAGUCAAGGAUUGACCACGCCCAACGAAUGUCACCGAGGUCCGAAGCUUUGUGGGCUUAGCGGGCUAUUAUCGACGGUUCGUGGAGGGUUUCUCGAAGAUCGUGACCCCACUUACCCGUCUAACGCAGAAGGGCGUUAAGUUUUUUUGGAGUGACGAAUGCGACAGGAGUUUCAACGAGUUAAAGGAAAGAUUAACUUCGGCUCCGGUGCUCGCCUUACCAGUGCAAGGCGAGGAUUAUGUAGUUUAUAGUGAUGCAUCCUAUCUGGGUCUAGGGUGUGUCCUGAUGCAAGGCGGGAAAGUGAUCACUUACGCUUCUCGUCAGUUGAAGGGCUAUGAGAAGAACUAUCCCAUUCAUGACUUGGAGUUGGCGGCGGUGAUCUUUGCUCUGAAGCUAUGGAGGCACUAUCUGUAUGGUGCACACUGCGAGAUCUACACCGACCAUAAGAGUUUAAAAUAUUUGUUUAUCCAGAAGGAGCUUAAUAUGCGGCAGCAGCGGUGGUUAGAGCUGUUAAAGGACUACGAUGUUGACAUCCUAUACCACCCCGACAAAGCGGAUGUAGUCGCGGAUGCGCUUAGUAGAAAGUCGGCGGAGAACCUCGCUAUGUGGGUUACAAAUCAAACGCCCCUAUGGUUGGACAUGGAGCGAAUUGAGCUCGAGGUUGUGACUCCGGAGAUUCCGACUAAAUUGAUGGCGCUAGUGGUUCAACAUACCUUAUUAGAGAGGAUUAAGAGUCUGCAAUCUGCGGACCCGAAUCUCCAAAAGGUGCAGCGCAGCGUUGAGGAAGGCCAUGGUGGCGAUUUCAGUGUAGACGCCGACGGUGCACUUCGGUUUCGAAACCGGUGGUGUGUAUCCGAGGAUAAGGAGCUUCGCGAGCUGAUUUUGCAAGAAGCACACCGGUCUCCAUAUGCUGACCACCCGGGCGGCACCAAGAUGUAUCAUGAGUUGAGGUCGCUCUACUGGUGGCCAGGGAUGAAAACUGAUAUUGGGCGCUUCGUGGCGAAGUGUUUAACCUGCCAGCAGGUAAAGGCGGAGCGCCGAUUUCCAGCGGGGAAGCUUCAAAGCCUACCUAUUCCCGUUUGGAAAUGGGAGAACAUAUCGAUGGAUUUCGUCGUCGGCUUGUCUCGCUCGACGGGAGGCCACGACGCGAUUUAGGUAAUCGUGGAUCGCUUGACGAAGUCGGCACACUUUUUACCGGUCCACACUACUUGGGCAGGUGAUAAGCUAGCGCAGGUUUACCUCGACGACAUAGUGAGGUUGCACUGGGUGCCGAGUCCAUUGUGUCGGAUUGAGACCCAAGUUUACUUCGCACUUCUAGAAGAGCCUGCAGGAAGCCCUUGGCACACGACACGACUUCAGCACAGCGUUUCAUCCCCAGUCAGAUAGACAAACUGAGAGGAUCAUUCAGACUCUGGAGGAUAUGUUGCGAGCGUGUGUCAUAGAUUACAGAGGAGGUUGGUGCAAGCAUCUGCCGAUGGCCGAGUUCGCCUACAACAACAGUUAUCGUGCUAGUGCGGAGAUGGCACCGUUCGAGGCUCUUUAUGGGCGGAAGUGCCGAUCUCCCAUUUAUUGGAGUGAUGUGGACGAGCGUGCGGAAUUUGGCCCCGAAGUGUUGCGGAAGGCGGAAGAGAAAGUCCGCCUUGCCCGUAAAAGACUACUCACGGCACAAUCUCGACAGACGAGCUACGUGAAUAAGCGUCGUAGGGACUUGGAGUUUGCGGUAGGUGACCGUGUCUUCUUGAAUGUUUCGCCCAUGAGAGGCGUUAAGCCCUUCGGAGUGCGGGGAAAGCUAAGUCCCCGGUUUAUUGGUCCUUAUGAGAUCUUGGAGCGGAUUGGGACGGUGGCCUAUCGGCUAGCAUUGCCACCGAAGCUUGCCGAUGUGCAUAAUGUAUUCCACGUCUCCAAUCUCCGCAAAUACGUACUUGAUCCCGAGCACGCAAUGUUGUACGAUCCGCCAGAACUUCAAGAAGAUUUGAGUUUCGAGGAGUUUCCGAUGGCAGUUAUCGCUCGAGAGGUGCGUAAGUUGAGAAAUCGAGAAAUUUCCUAUAUCAAGGUCCGGCGGAGCAAUCACAAUGAUCGCGAAGCCACCUGGGGGCUCGAGGAUGAAAUGAAGGCGAAUCACCCUCACCUAUUUGAGGAUUGAGUUGAGGUAUGAUUUAAAGUUAAUUUGAAUUAAGUUUAAUUAAGUUGAGUUCGUUUCAAGGACGAAACUCUUUUAAGGUAGGGAGGAUGUAAGGAAGUGAAUUCUCGAAAUCCGAGAAUUGAAAUUCGAUUAGAAUCACUUCUUGUCGUGUUGGUAUGCUUCGGAAAGUCCGAAGAUAUCAAAAUAGCAAAAAGUGCAUUGGAAACGGACCCGCGAGAGCAAACGAGCUAAUUUGCUCAAGUGCAGAUUUUGGUACUCUCCGGGACCGGUCCCUCUUGGAGAGGACCGGUUCCCGUAAGAGAGAUUUGAGGAGUUGCUCUUAGGGACCGGUCCUUCCUUAGAGGGAUCGGUCCCCGUACCACGAAAUGCCCAAGUAUGGGCUGUCUCAUAGAUGCAAAGUUGAGGAGUUUUUCAGCAAUUGUAGCAUGGGGGAGGGGGUUAUAUGCUAUUUCCCCUCUCUCUUUCCUCAUUUCCCCUCUCCCACACUAACAUUUCCUCUCCCUCUCUCUCUCUAGAAGAAGAAGAAGAAGGAGAAGAAGAAGAAGGAGAAGAAGAAGAAGAAGGAGACAAAGGAGGAGAGGAACAUCUCCUCCAUCUUCUUCAAGAUAGGAGCAAGCUUUUGGAGGUAACCUCCAACUUGGUUAAUGGUGGAUUUCUAGGGUUAAGUCCAAAUACUCUAGAAUUGGUUUUGUUGGAACCUAAUGGUGUUUAAUAGAUGAUUCUAGCAUGAAUCUAGGGUUUUGUUGGUAUAGUUUGCACUAAUUGCAAACCUAGGGCACCCAAAAUGGGUUUUUGGUUGUUGAAGGGUUGUGAUAUAAUUGAAGCAUGUGUUAACCUAAUUGAUAGGUUUUCCGACGUGUAGGCGAAGACGAUUCGAGGAUCCGUCGAGCGGGUGUGAAGUUAUCAUCAAAAGAGACCCUCGGAGCUUCGUUUCCGCCUAGAAGGCCAACGAGGCGUCGUAAAAUCGGCGAAUCGUAUUCCAAGAGUCGCGACGUCGACGAGGUGGGUGGUGACCAUCCCGAAGCAAUUGAGCUGCCCCCUAUGUCUGAGUUCAUUGUUGAUCAAGUUUGCAUAUUGAGCAUGAUACAUAUAGGUGCUAGAUGGUUAUUGUUUGUUGCUUACACUUGCAUGCUAGUGGUAAUGUAACUUAGUUGAUUUAGCCUUUGAUCCUAGUAUGCAUGAGUACUAUGUGAUAUAGCUUAAAACCCUAUAUGUGAUGCUGUAUGGUGAAUUGGAACCUAGGUGAAUGAUAGCCUAGUGAUAGUGUGCAAGCGGUGUAUCAAGGACACUUAAAUUGAUGACGAGUGGCAUCUAGUUAAUGUAAACCUAUGACGAGUGGCAUAUGAGAAUCUUAGUGUAGUUGAAACACUAGGAGGUUGAGUAUUGAACAUAUGUUGGAUUUGAUGAUUAUAACCCUAGUCGGUAGGGUAUCCUCUCUAGUUUGAGGAUUGGAUCGUGCUCGUGUAGCCUGUUACGCUUUUCGUGGUCGCUCCACACAAGCCGUGCACUCCGGAGGUUGGACUAACGUACUUGUCCGCAGGCGGUCUCGGUGGGCAGAGCGUUUAAAGUCUUUUCCCCCUUUUGAGACUUUGAGACGAGAGUUUGAGGCAAACCUGCGGGUUGGCCAAGUAAUUAGGUAAACAGUUUAAUGAACCUCAUUGUUGAACAUAGUAGCUAGUUCUUUUACUAUGAGUUGCAUGCAUGCAUGUUUACAGAUUGAGGCAUGGUAGAUUACUUUCAUAUCUACUUGUUGUUAUCGCUUUCCAAUUAUCUAUCUAUCCGUAUAUCUAUCUAUGCUUCCUUAGACCUAGUAGGGAGAUCGGCGGAGUCGGCGGCCGAACCCACUGGGAACUAUUUGUAGUUCUCACCCCACCUUGUUGCAGUACAGGUACUUUUCUCGACCUAUACAAGGCGGAUGUUUAUAUUUUGGAAGAUCAAAUGUAAUCAAAUGUAUAAAGUUGUAUCAAAAAAGGUUGAAUGAAUAUAAUAGCUUAGCAUCUCUCUCUUUUAUUCACUUGUAUGUUUAUUACUCGUGAUGCUUGCUCUCGCUUGUUUGGCACUGGUUGUGCUCUCGCUGUUGUUAUUUGAUCGUGUGUGGAUUCAAGUGUAUUCCUGGGAACUUGUUGUACAUGAUCUUGUCACUUGAGCCUUGGGCGAACAGGGGAGGUUCUGUCCAUUCGGCGUCUGUUCGACGCGCCCGAGCCGGACCAAAUUGGUAGCGGGUCUCGGGGCGUGACAUCAAUAUUUGCUAUGCCACUAAAAACAACUGUAGGUUCAUCUAUCACACGUCGUGAGGCUCUAGCUAAUCGUUGCCUCUCUUGCCACAAUCCCUAGCCUUUCCCGCUGCGGAAGGCUCUGAAACAAAACAACAAAACAAAGAGCUUGAGAACUAUUAAUCAAUAGUUUCCAGUCGGCAAGUCGCCGACCUCAGCGAAAUAUACCGCUAGGCUAACCGAGGUAAUAGAUAUGAUAUAGGAAGAGUAAAAAAGUAAAUGCAGCAAUUAAAUAAGCAGUUUCUACUAUAUCAUGCCUCUACAUGAAGUACCUCUAAUAUGUAUGGGAAUUCCAUCAUUAAAAUUACAUGCAUAAGUAAUUAUGUAGGCAACAAUAAAACACUAGUCCAUAUUUAAACCCUGAAUAGUUAUAAUGGUGUAAUUCUCGCAUUGUCAUUGACAUCAAAUCAUUAUAGUCGUCAUAGAGCUAUCCUUCUAUAUUUAACUUCACAAGUGUAGGUUACUAUCACUAAGGUGUCAAUGCAACAAUGCCCCACAAGGAUACCUCUCUACUAUGAAUGCAUCGAAUCUCAACAUAGGGUAACCAACCACUAGUAUGACCAUUUACUAGGUGUGCAUCCACUAGUAUGACUACCAUAAUGUCAGGUUUAAUUAACUCUUGGUUAACAUAGUUCAAUUCAUCAGGACCUACACAAGUGUAGUCUGGCUUGCGCCGUGCCUAAUGGCCUGUGGUAGUCCAAUAUUCUCCUGCAAGGAAUGAGCCUGUCCCAAGUCGACCCAGUAGGCACCGAAUACUGCACGGCGAGCAUCUAUAGCAUAGGCCAACUCCGGAGUGCCGGCUUGUGGGGAGCGACCCUCACAAGCAUAUGCGAUUGAGCACAAAUGGCAAGCAAGCAUGAUCAUCAUUACAAGUAUACGGUCGCCAUGUCUCAACAUGGUAUAAGUACUAGCAACCCCAAAGGUCUAGUUCUAUGUCAAAGCGCACAAGUUUAACCAUUCACUAAGUCCAAUGCCUCUUUAUGACAUUGUUGUUUUCUAUGUUAUAGCACAUGUCCAAAGCACAUGAAGGUCCACAUUUCAUUCAUUGAUUCUAUUAAGGGUGGUUCUAUGUCUCAUACAUGAACCUACCCAUGUGUGCUACUACGACCAUCAUGCUCUAUGCAAAAAGGGUAAUCUUUUAAUGUCAUGUAUGUCAAAUUCCAAAAAUAAUUUAACUCAGUGGUAUGUCUCUACUAAUAUGUCACAUGACUCUACACACAAUGUCCACGUUUUAUUCGUUCCAAUGGGAAUGGUUCGAUGACUCAUUCAAGAACCUAACGGGCUUCACUCAUAUGCCAGUGUGUGAUAUUUCCACUAAAAUGCAAAAGUUGAUUUUCAUUAAACUACUCAAGUGUGUACUUUGUCAUUUACAUAUCAAUUGCAUAUUCCAACACAAGAAUCUCCUACAUGCCUAUAGCAUAAGGUUUCAUCUAACAACUCAUAGGAUGGGUAAACCAUAGUGUUUACAAGCGUAUAUAUAUACCUCACUACCUGAGCCUCCUCUAUAUAAGGUACAACAUUAUUAUGCAAAUAAAUGGCUUCUUUACUCAUGCAACAUGUACUACUACAUGCUUUACUACCGAGAGUGUAUCAACCCUCUACAUGUCAUAUGGAUGUCAAGUAUUCGAACUUCAUCAAUCAUCGUGUCGAAAAUACGAAAUCUCAUUUAUCAACUCAAGGGUCAAUAUAAAGUUACCCGGUUAACUUAGUUGUUCAUCUAACUAAGUACAACAUUCAUGACUCUACAUCAAAUGGUUAACAUGUAGUGCAUCAUACUCAUCAUUAUCUAUCAAGUAAACUAGUUGCAAAGUCCACUAGUUCCAUUAGCCCUCUAGAGUCUCAAAUGACCUAGAAUUCAUCUCUAAGCCCUCUAGAGUCUCAAAUGACCUAGAAUUCAUCUCUAUUAAGCAUUACUACAGUGCAAUAAAAGGAACAUGUCAUCGUACUAUAACUUCAUAGGUACAACAUGCAUGAUUUCAUCUAUUGUUCUCUACUACAUAAAGUAUACAAAAGGUUAUACAUGACAUGUAUUCUCAAGCACUCUAAAAUUCUAUCAUGGCAAAAAUAUCAUGAUUAUGCAACAAUUAAACCCUAUAACAUCAUAGGAGGCAUAGGGGGGAGUUUACCCAUUUUGGUGAGGUCAAACCCACCGAAUCACACCCGAACGCAUUCAUUCCUUCAAACAAAGUUGUCCACCGAACUUCUAACACCCUAAGAGAAAUUCUAAAGGGUUGAAAACUUUCAAAUAACUAUUUCGAAAAUCUUCGAAAAUUACACAUGCAAAAAGUGUAAAAUUACCUUAGGUCAAGAAGAACUUGAUCGAAGCCCAAAUCAAAGCUAGAAAGCUUCAAAUCCAACCUAUAAGAGUGUUCUACAUUCAUCAAUUCUAUCUCAAAAGCUCAUAAUAAGAAAGCCUCAAAAUAAACCCUAAUUUUCCAAAAACUAGGUUUUCUCCCAAAACUCAAGCAAAUCUCUCAAAUAGAGGUUAAGAGAAGAUUUCUAACCUCAAAACAAGCUUGAACUUGAGCCAUCAUGUACUAAGGUUGAAGUUUGAAUCAUCCACAAGCUCCUCUCAUCACCUCCAAGCUCUAAGAAGCAAGCAACCAUGGAGGAAAGGAAGAAAAAGAGAUCAAUUCUCAAAAACCCAAGAGAUUAGUGGAGAAAAUCUAGAGAGAAUGAGAGAAAAACCCACCUCUAGUCCCUCUCUCAAGCCUCAGCCAGCUGAGGAACAAAUGGGGUGAAGGGGUAUAUAAAUACGUUGUAACAAUAUCAACUCAAACCCCUCAACCUUCAAAAUUUACAAACUGCACGAGCUGCAGUUUUUCCCACUACGUACUGGUACGCGGGAAAGAGUACCAGUACCAAGCACAAAAUCCUGCUCAAUCCGAGCCUCGGUCAAGCUUCCAGACUGCGGCGUACCGGUACUCGGCCGAUGUCGUACCAGUACUCCAGCCCCUAAAAUUUGCAGUUGUUGAUUUUGAUACCAAAAGCCUAUUCUCAUGUUAAAUAAGCUCCAGAAUAGGCAAGUACCAUACAUGUAAUCCUCAAAAACAUCCCGAAUAGAUUAAAAUACUAUUCUUACAUUAGAACCUUGCAAUUUGCAGAAGUUUAGUGUGUUACAUAGAGCCUCUACGGAGUAUUAUAGAUGGAUCCGUGAUCAUCUUUCUUUUUAAGAUAUAUUAUGUAUGUAUUUAAAGAUCUACUAAAUUCAUGUGGAUUCUGUUGGUUAUACCGAUUGUAUAUCUUGAGGAUGUUGAUGUUUUAGACUUUUAGUGAUUUUAUCUACUUGCUCUGAUAGCCUUGUUAGGGAUCUGCUUUUGUUUAUUCUUUAUUUUAGUAGACGCCUUGUGUGCAUCGGGGGUGCUUGGUGUGCAUCGGGGGUGCUUGGUGUGCACGGCGGGUCUGUGCAUGCAUCGGGUAGGCUUCCGUUGGGGCCUGGGCGUGACAUCUCUCUUCUCCUCUCUCUUCCAUCUUCUAGCAAGAAGGACGUCCCUUGUAAAGGAGCUAGCACUUCGGUGAGGACAUCAAUCAAAUCACCAACCUCUUGUGGAUACUUAUAGAGGCCGGACGCGUGUACGGCUUCACCAGAACCUAAUUCCAUGAUCAUCAAAUUGUGGUGAAAAUUUAUCCGCGCAAAGGUAAAGAUUAGGUCUUGUUUUUCUUCUUUAAUCUUAAAGAAUAUAAGGGAUCUUAUUUGUGUGGUUUUCGAGAUCGGAUUUCGAGUUUUAAAAAUCAAAUUUGUUUGAUUUCUUUUUCCGCUGCGAUUUUAUCGUACGCAAAUUUUCUAAUACUCUAAACUUUAAACCAUUUUGAAAUUGACCUCUGAAAAUUUUUUAUUUGAUUUACACCUCCUCAACUUACAAACUAUUUGAUUUAGGCCAUUCCAUUAGUAAUCUUGAAAAUUUUAUUAGAAUCAAACACUCACGUUAGAUGGAUGUGAUCAAUAUAUUGCUUUAGUAAAAAAAGAGGAAAGAAAUUUUUGAUAAUAUAAAGAAGUAUGGAUGUAGUAUAUAUCUUAUUAUUCAAAAUGAAUCAAACAAAGUUAAGUAGAAUAAUUUUGCUUUUUUUUUUCUCGACUAAAACAAUUUUUUGUCAUAUUCAUCUCUCGCAAGUGUUUGAUUUUAACAAAUUUUUUUCCCAAUUAUUGACGAAAGGACCAAAAUCCCCAAAAUUUUUAGCGAAAAGACCCAAAUCAAAUAAUUUGUAAGUUGACAGUGGCAAUCAAAUGGCAAAAAGUUUAGAAGGUUAGUUUCAAAAUAGAUCAAAGUUUUUAACCUAAAAAUUAUUGAGUAAAACUAUUUGUACACCCAAAAGUUAAAGGCAUAUCUUACAACUUUAAGUAUCUCUUUUAUAUUUAAUAUUAAAUAAUUAUUAUGACUAGUAUUUAUCAAUAUAAGCUUAUGAAAGGGCGAUAGGGUUGGAGCCCUCCCCGCGUUUUGCGCUCUCCGCCCUCCCGUACGGCGGCCCCCCCCUCCCUUCCGAUUUUUCCCCCUUUCCAUUUCGUAGCCCGCCCCGCGUUUUGCGCUCUCCGCCCUCCCGUACGGCGGCCUCCCCCCAUCCCUUCCUCCGUUUCGUAGCGGCGAUAGGGCUCGAGCCCUACCCGCGUUUCGCGCUCUCCGCCCUCCCGUACGGCGGCGCCCCCCCCCCUACCCGCGUUUCGUAGUGGCGACGCCAACGCUGUCCUCCCUCGGGAACACCGUCGCAUCCUCCCAUACGCGGCGGCGUUGCCCCCUUCGCCGUCCUUUCGUCCUCUCCGCCUUGACUCGCCCUGUUGCCUGUCCCGUCCGACGUCCCGUCUACCUUAUUCCGUACUCUUCGCCUUCUCCCGCCCUGUUGCCUGUCCCGUCUGCCAUCCCGUCCGCCUGUUCCCUUCCGAUAGCCCGUAGGACUGGGGGGUGGCAUUGUGCCGUCGGUGGUGUGGGCGGCGACUUUUCCUCUACCGCACGUUCUCGGUUGUGCAGGUCGGCGUGGCUUCUUCGUACGGUUGGUGGUCAGUAUGCAUUAAUUUAUUAUUAUUAUAUUUAACGCGAUCGCAGCCCACUUCGCGUGAGGCGUGGCGCUUGCGGGCUCUCUCUCGCUCUCUUUUCUGCUUUACCUGGCUAUAAAUACUGAACGGUUUGGCAUGCCCGAUCUUUUUCUUCUACUUCCCCCGGUAUUUUGUCCCCUGUUUUUUAGCGCGGUUGUCCUGUCGUUUUUGCCUUGUGGUGCUCUUUGUUUUGUGGGUGUUUACUUUGUGCGGCUUUUUUGCUUGAGUCAUGGCAGCCGUAGUUGUGGAAAUCUGUUUCCGAGAUUUCCUGCGCAUUAUCUGUCAGCGAUUCUCUUUGGCAGCACCUGCGUACGGGAUCCCAAUUGAAAAUGGGGGCUUGCUUAGUGCUUAUGUUGAAGUGGAGGUUCCUAGAGGAGAGAUUGUUAUGGAGACAAUCCGUUGCUGGGGCGCGUUUUGCUCUACUGUCAAUGAGACAGAGGAGGACGCCGCCUGUCGUGCUGUUGCGAGAUUACGUGAUGAGUUUGGUUUUGAGGUCAAAGAUAGUAAUCUAGAAGAGAAGAAAUUUUUAAAGAGCCUAUAUGAGCGUGUUUCUGCUGAUUAUAGCUUGCUUCGUAGUAAAUAUAAGCGCCUCAGACGCGACUGCAACCUCUUAAAGGGGUACUGCAGCUCUCUCCUUGCUGAGAAAGAGCAACUUCUUUCGGACCGGAGGGAGUUCAAGGAUAAUUUGCUUAAGUGCCUUGCUUCGGUGAAACAGUGAAAGAUUGGUGUGGUCUGCCCAUGUAAUAGCUGGGGUGUUCCUGAGGAAGGACCGGCAGCGUAUCCGGGUUAUUAUGGUGGUAGGGAUUGACAAAACCUUGGGCUUUUUUGAGAUUUUUUUUUUUUUUUUUUUUGGCUAGGAGUCGUGUUUGUAUAACCGGUGAUUUUACUAUAUGCUUUUUCGUUUUGGGUUUGAAUUAGGUGCUCUACUAUUAUGACUAAUGAUGGCUCUACUGUGUGAGAAGUAAUGUUUUGUCCGCUCUUUAAACACUACUUAUAGUUAUAGAUGUGUUGUCAAACUUCAACCAGUUCACAGUUCUUGUGGUUGAAAUACGUAAAUCUGCUUUGGUUUCUGUAACUGGGGUUAGAUGCUUUGCUUUUAUUGUUAUUGGGUUUGUUUCCGGUGAAUGGUUUGGUAAAGGAUGCAUUUUUGUAUAUUGGUUUGUUCUAAUAUUGGUUUAGGGUGCGGUUUAUUGUUUUCGGUCGCUAUUGAGGAGAUUGUUAUUAUAAUUGGUUGUGUUUUAUGUGGAUUUUUUGGGUGUUGAGAUUGGGACUUCUUUUAGCAUCCUUCUUGCUGUUGUGUUCUCCUUUUUCCUUAUUCUUUUUUUUGUUUUUUGGGAGGCUAUGAUGAUAUAUAAAAAAAGAGACAUGAGGUUCGGAUGGUUUGGUUUCUAGGCAACUAGCUCUUGCUUUCUGUUGUAUCUUGCGCAGCCUAUAUCUUCAAUUUUUUAUUGGUGCAAGUUAUGAAGAUAAGCACAAUGAUGCCUUUCCUUUUGUACUUUAUGUUUUUCUUAGAUUAGGUUUCGAUAAGAAAUAAAAUUUAAUUUGAACACAUUUGAAAAUUUUAUUUAGCUAAUAUAAUUGCAAUUUUUACCCUGGAACAUUAAUUGUUAGCUAUUUUUCUGCUAUUCUUUCUCGCAUACAUGAAUGCGUUGAGUUUAUGUUGAAUUUGAAAGUGCUAUGCUUCCUAAGAAAUGGUAAAUAAUUGUCAUACUACUUUAUUAACUAUAAUGACGCUUUUGGAUCGCCCUUUCAUAAGCUUAUAUUGAUAUGUAUAAAAUGGUAGUCAUAUUGUUUUAAUAACUCAGGUUCGCUAUUAAAUAUUUAAGAUCUCAUAAUAUGUUCGAUUAGUGUUUGAAGUCCUUUAACAUAGUGCAUGAGCUAUAUAUUUCUGUUUAAGGCUUUUCUUUUCCCUUUUGGGGGAGAGCUGUCAUAAUAUUUUAAAAAAGAGACAUGAGGUUUGGAUGCUCUGGUUUCAAGGUGACGAACUCUUGGUUUUCGUUGUAUUCUCCACAGCCUAUAUCUUAAAAUUUUUCUCUGAUUAUAUGGUUUGGACUUACUUUCUGAUUUUGCUUUUGUUUUUUUCCUUUUUUUUCCCUCUCUCUUUGAUUGUAUGGUCUCGAUUUUCUUUGUUGUUUUUUGAGCCAGUGAGGGUGGAUAACAUGAUAAAUGCUGUUUUUUGGACUAUUAUCCGGCCUCAAUCUAAUUAAAGAUGUGUUGAGCCAAAUCAAUGAAAUGUGUGAUAUAAACAUAACUUAUUGCUGAUAAAAUAUUAUUUGGACCAAAUAUUAUUGAUGAUCAAUCAUAAACAUAAACAGUUCUGUACUUGCUGUUACCAAUUGCAAAAACUGAAUAAACAAAUACCGAAAGAAAAAAAAAAACUUAAAAUUUCCAUUUUUUUUCUGGCUGUUGUGAUUCUUUGAUUUUGGUGAGCAUUGUAUUUUCCUCAACCUAUAUCUUAAGAUGGAUCAAAUAUCUUACCUUUUUUGCUAUCUCCUUUUGCAGCAGCGUAGAUCGAUAGAAUGAAAAAAAAAAGAGCUGGUUUUGUCUGCCUACUUACUAGGCAACUACCUCAUAGUGUUCGCUUUCCUUUCCUCAAUCUAUAUCUUAAGGUUGGAUGGAAAUAAUAUCUGAGCCUCCCGUAGUUUUAUAUGUUUUUUGUAUUUUUUAUGUUGCCUAUAUUUUUUUUGUUAGAUAUGUUUUUAUUGUUGUGUAUAUAUAUAUAUAUAUAUAUAUAUAUAUAUAUAUAUGUGUGUGUGUGUGUGUGUGUGUGCAUGUGUGUGUGGAGUAAGGAAAAUACUGGUUAUAUCUAACUCUUUAUUUAUAAAUUAGUAAAAGCAUAUGUGUGUGCGUUUGUGUAUAAAUAUGUAUAUAUGAACUAUGGAAAAAAGUUGUUAGAUCUGAUUCUGUAUUUGUAGAUUAGUAAAAGCAUCUAUGUUGCUUCAGUGUUUGAGGGAAUGGAUGUUGAGCAAUAUACACUUCCUUUUUAAUAUUUUUUUUUUGCUCCUGGACCCUCUAAUUGCUUAUUUACAAAAUCUGUAAACUGUUUAGGUUUUGGGGAAUUUUUUUCUCGUGAACUGUAGAGUCUUUUAGAUAUUCCACGUUUAGUUCUGCUUUUGGUGNUGAAGAUCUGCCUAUACCAAAGUUUAAGUUCUUACAUCCAAUAUUAAAUUAAGCAAAAUAGUUUAGUUAACUAGCUUUAGUAAAAGCGUAUGUGUCUGCGUUUGUGUAUAUAUGUAUAUAUGAACUAUGGAAAAAAGUUAUUAGAUCUGACUCUGUAUUUGUAGAUUAGUAAAAGCAUCAAUGUUACUUCAGUGUUUGAGGGAGUGGAUGUUGACCAAUAUACACUUUCUUUUUAUAAAUUAGUAAAAGCAUAUGUGUGUGCGUUUGUGUAUAUAUAUGUAUAUAUGAACUAUGGAAAAAAGUUGUUAGAUUUGGCUCUGCAUUUGUAGAUUAGUAAAAGCAUCUAUGUUGUUUCAGUGUUUGAGGGAAUGGAUGUUGACCAAUAAACACUUUCUUUUUAUUUUUUUUUGUUUCUCCUGAACCCUCUGUAAACUGUUUAGGUUUUGGGGAAUUUUUUUGGGGUGACCUGUACAGUAUCUAAUAUAUUCCACGUUUAGCUCUGCUUUUGGUGUUGCUUAUAUUUAUGUGUGUAAUGUAUAUAUGUUUUCCUUUAGUUUUUCCCCCAAAUUUUUUGAAAAGUAUCUUUGCAGCAAAUGUGUGGUCGGUUAAACAAAGUAAAAGAAAAUGCUUAAUAUGGUAUUGCAUAUAUUCACAAAUUGAAUAAUCCAAGGUAGACAUUAGGUAUCAGGUUUGGGAUUGGUUUGUAUUAGAAACAUUUGAGUUUUUUUGCAACUGAGCUGAAGUAUUUAAAAAAAAAUCUCAUGAGGAAUACCGGAGUUUACUUACUCAAGUUAAAUGCAGAUAGAAUUACAGGUAAGAAUAUAAUGCACAUAAAUUACUUUGCGAUGUGGGUGGUUUGUCACAAAUUACUAUGUAAUUUUGCGUAAUUUUCAAGGCCAGGUCAUACCAUUUUGGUAUCCAAUUGUCUUCCCUUCUUUUGUUGUUUUCAUGAAUAAUCUUUUGUUGGCUGUUAUUUUAUUCUUACAUGAAUUCAAAUUAGAUGUCUUUGCUUUUCUAUUUUUUGCUUAUCUGCUGUAAAACUAUGGUAUCACAGUAGGAAUGCUGCGUGUAGUUACAAUAAAUCCAUACAAUUUAGGCUUCGGGUUGUGGUUGAAAUAUCGUUUGUCUUAUGUUAAAGGUAUAGAUGUUGUUCUGUUUUGCAUCAUGCAUUUUCUUAUUGUGUCAUAGUACAAUAGGUAGUUAAUUAGUUCCUCCUAAAUCGUAACAAAAAUUCCCGCACGAUCUUUAAUUAUGUCCUUAGGCUUUUGUUUUCAUAAGUGUUUAGUCGGGCAAUUUUCCAUUUUUUGUUGUAGGAUUCCUUCGAUAUCUUUUUUUUGCGACAUAUUUUCUUAUUGUAUUUGUUGAUAUUUUAUUAUUGAUGUGUUGUUCUUUGAUCUUUUUGAUUUGUUCCUCUUCGUAAUUUCCUUACCUUCUAGCUGUUUUGUGCUAGAAAUCUUACUUAUCUACUUAAGAUAAUGAUGUUGCUGAACCUCCGACUAUAUAUAUAUAUAUAUAUAAAGAAUUGUAUUUUUCUUUUUCACUCAGUUCUAAGUAGAUGCUUUUGUUUAAAGGAAUAGUCAAAUGGUGUAAGUAAAGGCUUGGCAAUAUUUGGAUGGUUUGCUAAGCAAGCAACCAUUUGUUGUUUGAAUUUGCUUUUGUCAUUUCAUCGAAUAUGAAGCGAGUCUGAGCCGAGUCUUUUUCUAUUUAUAACUAUUAAUUUGAUACUUUUUAAGCAGAUGCAAACAAUGUGGUCUUCUUUUAUACUUUUUUUAAUGCAAAGAUUUUGCUUCUCACAGAAUCUGAUCUUCCAUGAUUUAGUUGCUACCUUUUUUUGUCUCCUAAGUGUAUGAACAAUACUGCCGGGUCUCUCUGGAACCAACAGGCUUUUGUAUAAAUGCUGACAUUAUUUUAUUUCUCUCUAAUCUGUUAUAGUUAGUGCUUAGAUUAUUCAUUUUUUGGCAAGUUUUGAUUCGUCUUCUCUUUUAAACAAAUUAAAUCAACUCUAGACUAUAUUGAGAAUGUUGUUGCAUAGUUUAUUGUUGAUAAUAUGAAUUUUCUUUUGUUACUAUACAUAUUUUUCUACUGGGACCAAAUAUUUGGUAUUAGGAAAUCAAAAAUAUUUAAAAAAAAAAAAGAUAUCUCAAAUAUUUGGCCACAUUAGGAAUGUCGUGUGCAGUUACAACAAAUCAGUACAAUUUAGGCUUUAGGUCGCGGUUGAAAUGUCAUUUGUGCACGUUUGCAAAAAUUCCAUACAAUAUAGGUUCCUGCAUUGUGAGUGAUUAGAAGUAUAGAUGUCAUUUUAUUUGCUGAUUUAGAUGCUCUUAUUGUGGCAAAGUAUAUGAUGAAGCUACAUUAUGACAAAGAGUCAAAUGAAGAUUCCCAUAUAUUUUGCUGCAAAAUCUAGAGUUAUUAUAUUCGGAAAAAAAUUGCAUCAACUUUAGAUUAUAUUGAGAAUGUUGUUGCAUGGGUUAUUGUUGAAAGUAUGGAUCUUUUUUUUUGGUUCCUCAAGAUAUUUUCCUACUAUGGCGAAAUAUUGGGUAUAGGCAAAUCUAGCUUAUUUAAAAAUAAAGAUAUUUCAAAUAUUUUGCCACAGUAUAAAUGUCGUAUGUGGUUUCAAAAGAUUCAUAAAAUUUAGGCUCCUAUAUCGUGACUCCUUGGAAGUAUAGAUAUAUUGGGCCUGUGAGUGUAGAUAUAUUUGGUCACAGUUCAAAUGUCGCAUGUAUUUGCCAAAAAUCCAUACAAUAUAGGUUCCUACAUUUGUGAGUCCUUAUAAGUAUAGAUAUUGUAGUUUUUCGACUUAGGUUUUCUUAUUGUGUGAAAGUAUAUAGUGUGGCUAUAUUAUGACAAAGAGUGCAACGAAUUUUCUCAUAUAUUUAGGUGCAAAAACUAUAGUUAUUAUAUUCAUGGAAACAUUGCAUGCACAACAUGUAGACUAAAACUUAUAUAUUAUGAGAAUAUGUGGUUGAUUGGUUUAGGGAAUGCUUGAAACUUCAUGUGUGGUAAAAGUAUGUAUUAAAUAAGGAAAAGUUAUUGCUCGACUAAGGACCUACAUUUGUGAGCUAAAUAGGAAGUUAUAGGUUUUUUUGUCAAAUCCUAUGCUUGAUUGUAUCAAUUUGGGCUCAAUUAAUUUAGUUUUUUUUUUUUUUCUGAUUUUGUCUGAUCCAAGAUUUCUAUAUAUCUAAUACUAGAUUGUCUACGUUGUAUAGGUGAAGAACUGCCUAUACCAAAGAUCAAGUUCUUACAUCCAAUGUUAAAUUAAGCAAGAUAGUUUAGUCAACUAGCUUUAGUAAAAGCAUAUGUGUGUGCCUUUGUGUGCAUAUAUGUAUAUAUGAACUAUGGAAAAAAAAGUUGUUAGAUCUGACUCUGUAUUUGUAGAUUAGUAAAAGCAUCUAUGUUACUUCAGUGUUUGAGGGAAUAGAUGUUGACCAAUAUAGACUUCCUUUUUAAUUUUUGUUUCUUUUUACUCCUGAACCCUCGAAUUGCUUAUUUUCAAAAUCUGUAAACUGUUUAUGUUUUUGGGUUUUUUUUUUUGGUGAACUGUAUAGUAUUUUAUAUAUUCCACGUUUAGCUCUGCUUUCGGUGUUGCUUAUAUUUAUGUGUGGUUUUUACUUAAGUCUGGUACAUUACGCCUAAAAUGUGUGAUCGGUUAAACAAAGUAAAAGAAAAUGCUUAAUAUGGUAUUGCAUAUAUUCACAAAUUGAAUAAUCCAAGGUAGACAUUAGGUAUCAGGUUUGGGAUUGGUUUGUAUUAGGAACAUUUUUGUUUUUUUUUACAACUAAGCUGAAGUAUUUUUUGAAAAGUUUCUUUGCAGCUUUGUUUGCUUUUUAAAUCUUAUGCGGACUGGUUUUUACUUAAGUCUGGUACAUUAUCCCUAAAAUGUGUGAUCGGUUAAACAAAGCAAAAGAAAAUGCUUAAUAUAGUAUUGCAUAUAUGUAAUAACUGAGAUUUUUCAUUUAUUGAUUAAACCCUUUAGUUUGACGAUGUUCUUGUGUGUAAUAUAAUUAUAAGUGUACUCGUCAAAUUUCAGGAGAAAACGAGUUAAAACGGAGAAGUUACGCGACCCGGAAGUUCGACUUAAGUGAAUAGUAACUCCGGUUUUCCGGAGAGGCCGCGAAGUAGAGUGGACUUUCAACGCGUAUCGGACUCCGAAUAUAGCCUUCCAAUAGCUCGUUUCGAACCUCUCGACUAUACUGGAACCAUUGGCGCUGACGGAAUUGGGUUCUGAUGCACGGUUGUCGAGAAAAAGGGGUUUAAUGGUUUUUACAUAUGAUUAUACCUAUAUGUGGUUUUUGAUGGAACCAGUGAGGGUGGGUUUUGUCGCAAAUCGGAGACCUUUUCAGACGAAACGAAAUGCUAGAUUCGAUGCCCCAGUCGUGCUGAUCGCGCUGGCGCAAUCCGUUCGGAAAUCCGACGGACGGAUCUUCGGGAAUCGCGAAAAGUCCGCGAAGGGGCUGAUUUGACAAAACGGAUAAAUCGCGAAGAAGCCCAUUAUUUUAUGCGCCGUUUUGCGAGUUUUCGAACUCGGAGGGACUGUCGUGCAAGGUGCACCAACUGGUAGGGAGCUGGGUCGAAAUUGGUCAACAUCGGGGGUUUUUCCGCAAGGUUUACUCUACCUACAUAAAGGAAGAUUUAGGGUUCCGAGGUGAAACCCUAACCCUAAUCCGACCCCAGCUGACCCAGACCACCCUAGCCGCCCCAGCUGAGCCCUGCCCUGUCGGUGCGCGCGCCCCGGCCGCCGGCGUGCUGCUCCGGCCACCGGAAACCCUCCUGCAGCCUUCCCGGACCACCCUCUCGGCCACCUUUUCCUCCUCCUUGGCCGAGAGCAAGUGGGGCAUCUACACCACCUCUGGAAGGAAGCCCCGGCCGUGAUCCACCUCCAGCGCGCCUAUCUCCCAGCUCCGGCCAUCCCCGGACGUUGCCGGAGCCGCCUGGAAGCUGCGGCCAGCCCGGGGUCAACCCAGGCCGAGCCGGGCCAACCUCGAGCUGCGGGCGCCGCCACCACAUUUCUCCGGCCGCGCCGCCCUCCAGUCGGCCUCGGCGACCUCCGGCAACCCGGCGCGCGCAUCCCCCGCCGUCCCCGCGCGCCGCCGGCCGUCGCUGGAACUUCCUGUGGCCGCCCAAGCACGUGCGGGCCGAGGUCGGGCCCGCCCAGCUUCUAGACGCUGCCGCAGCCCACCGUAGGGUGCACGGCCUCCCCCUCGACCUCCGGCGCCGAACCGUCGCCGCCCCGACCUCCUCCGGCCGCCGCCGCGCCGCCGGGAAGCUUGAACCCGAGAGGGAGUUGGGGGAGUGGAUCUCGGCCGCCGCGCCACCGGUUGCCGCCCGCCGCCGGCCAGCACCCUCCCCGGACCCCCUGGACCGAGUGCUCCCUCCUCCGGCCGGAUCGCCCGCCUCCCGGCCGCCGGCGACCAACCCUAGCACUCCUCGGGUCCGGUAAGGGCAUUUUACGUUCCAGCACUGUUUUUCGAGGUUCCGGUCUCCUUUUCGGUGAUCCGAAAAGCCUCCUAAGCUUCGGGAAGUGAGCACGAUGAUCUACAACUCGUGCUGAACAUCGUGCUCACCUCCAAUAGCAGCAAUGAUGCCCUGGUUUGUGAGUUAGUCGCGAUCUUCGCGCUGUGCGCGCAGUUUAUCUGAUUUUCACAUCGCUCGUGCGCGCACCGCAGUGGCCGGCAGUGCUCCGAAAGGUGAGCACGGCCUCCGACAUGCUGAAACCUGUCAGCGAGUACGACGGUCGGAUUAAUCGACCCCUGGUUUGUGCGCACGGUCCAGAAAAGUCUAGAAAUCACAUGAAAUGAUGCAAUUUCAUGUAUCGGUAUCGGCUUUUAGGCUUUCUGCUUCGUUGUAGAUGCUGUGGACAGCGUGUAAAUGCUGAGGGUAACCUCUGGACUGAUCGUCCAAGGCCCCAAGCCUUUGCGGAAAUCGUAAAGUGACUUCCGGAGCGUUUUUCGGCGAAAUCCGCCGAUAGAACGCGGUUUCGGUUCGGAAUUCUUCCGAUGGUUCUUGGGGAUCAUUUGUUUCGUCGCUGAGCCUUGUUGGCUGGUCACCUGCAUCGUUUCGUGGGUUUGGAAACGACAGGUGAGCGACAGCGAAGUUCCGGUGCGGUUUUCGGGACUUCCGGUUUGUACGGUAAGCUGUUUUGGGAAACCGUUUUUGUGGGGCUAUGAGCGGGGGUUGUGAGUUAGCUUUUGAUGUCAGUGGGUUAGGCCUUAACCCGUUGGACCUUUCGUAGGUUCGGUUGCACCGUCUUCACAGUCGAGAGACCUUCGUCAGAUACAUACAAGUGGGUACUUCGACCCGACGUCGGUACAGUGGUGCACGCUCGGUGACGUUCCUUCCACCCUUCCUAUUUACAUUGCUUAUCAUAUACAUUGCCUAUCAUAUUAUCCUCGUAUUACUCUACUCGGUUGUUUCCAUGCUCGGUAUCUUGUGUAGGAGUAGAGUAGAUUUCUUCAGCAUAUGAUAUCUGUGAUCUGGUUGGUUGAUUCUCCUUUGUUGUAUCUAUGACCUGGUUGGUCGAGUUUCAUACUUCAUACUUGUGACCUGGUUGGUCGAUUUGGUUACAUGAUGACCCAUGCGGUCGAUGGGCCCUGGGGGGCAGGAUUGUCGGCUGGUUGCCGACGGUUGAUCAUUGAGCAUAUUGCAUUGAUCGCCCGAUACUCGUCGCAUUUCACGAACACUGGCGGUCUGAUCCACUGCAAGAAGUGUUCUUUUCCGGAAAAGUGGUUGAAUGGUGACAACCCGUGAGCCCUAGAAGGGUUAUAUGCACUGGAGAGUAAUAGUGGCAUUGGCUUGAGGUCUGCGGUGCUGACCAAGAGAGCAGUGGUUCAGAUUGGGUACUUUUGGACUGAUUGUCCCGUUGAUGCAUACUUACAGUAGCUGUAGUUGUUCAUUUAUAUUCAUUUCAGUUCUUGUUUAUCUUAGCUACUGUACUACCAUUAUCCAUCUAUUUGUUUAUCUCCGUGACUAGUGAGUACCCCUCGCCUUCUUCGGCUUGCGGUACCCACUAGGAGGGGAGACAUGUUUACAUGUUCUCACCCCCCGCCCCCAUUACAGGUGACGUAGCAGGACCGAGUGGGACAGCUGGUGAGGAGCGUGUCUAGCGUGCGAUAGAGCUCCUUCCCGAGUCGGUUAUUCCUUUUACCCUUCAUGCUUGAAUAAAUACUUAGACAUAUUAUGGUUCAGUUCUAUUUUAUUAUCUGACUAUCUGGGUUUUCAAUUGGUUUUGAAAUGUACUAAAGGAUUUGAGUUUUCUUGAAAUAAAACAGUUUUCUACCCCUCGUGGUAGCUGGUUUUGAAAAAGAAUAAUUCCCGUGUGGGGAUCAGUUUUCAAAUUGAUUUUUCUGUGGUUUUAUGGAUUUAGUAUUUCAAAAUCGGUUUCCAGGUAGGAAACAUUUUAACUGAUAGAUGUGGAAUGUUAUUCAUAAUUCAAGUAUCAUAUCUGUGUGUGUGAAUGGAAUGGAUGAAUGUUAUCUAUCUUGUUGUUCAUCUGGUUGUGGUUGUGAUUGUGUGUGUAUCUAUACUCUGUUGUACUUGUGCGACGCCGUGCAAAUACAGGGGAGACUCUGUCCGUGUGAACAGUGGAACUCCUGUAUUUGUGGCGGAUCUGGCACACUCUGGGAUUAGAUUUUCAAAAAAAAAAAUUUAGACGCUUUUCCGCUACCUUUUUAAACUAAAAGGGACCCCGGGGCGUGACAAUAUAUUCACAAAUUGAAUAAUCCAAGGUAGACAUUAGGUAUCAGGUUUCGGAUUGGUUUGUUUUAGGAACAUUUUAGUUUUUUUUUACAACUAAGCUGAAGUAUUUGUAAAAAAAAUCUCAUGAGGAACACCGGAGUUUAUUUACUCAAGUUAAAUGCAGAUAUAAUUAUAGGUAAGAGUAUAACGCACAGAAAUAACUUUGCAAUGUGGGUGCUUUGACGCAAAUUACUAUGUAAUUUUGCAUAAUUUUCAAGCCCAUAUCAUACCAUUUUGGCAUCCAAUUAUCUUCCCUUCUUUUGUUGUUUUCGUGAAUAAUCUUUUGUUCGCUGUUAUUUUAUUCUUACAUGAAUUCAAAUUAGAUGUCUUUGCUUUUCUAUUUUUUUGCUUAUCUGCUGUAAAACUAUGGUAUCACAGUAUGAAUGUUGCGUGCAUUUAUAAUAAAACCAUACAAUUUAGGCUUUGGGUCGCGGUUGAAAUGUAUAAUUAGUUUCGAGAAUGAUUGAAAAUUUCUAUGUUGUGGAUUUUAUGGUCUCGGAUUUAGAUGAUAAAAUUGUAACAAAGAUUCCCACAUGAUCUUUAAUUACAGUCUUAGGCUUUUGUUUUCAUAAGUGUUUAGUUGGUUUAGAUGAUGAUUAAAACUUCCUAUGUGGUUGUAGUUUAUGGAAACAGAUUAAAUUAACUCUGGACUAUAUUGAGAAUGUUGUUGCAUAGUUUAUUGUUGAUAAUAUGAAUUUUCUUUUGUUACUCUACAUAUUUUUCUAUUGUGACCAAAUAUUUGGUAUUGAGAAAUCAAACAUAUUUAAAAAAAAAAACAUCUCAAAUAUUUGGCCACAGUAGGAAUGUCGUGUACAAUUACAAUAAAUCAAUACAAUUUAGGCUUUUGGUCGCGGUUGAAAUGUUGUUUGUCCAGAAUUGUGUGGUUUUUUAUACUAAUGUUGUCUAUAUGUUUAGGUAUUGUUUAGGACAACAAAAUUACUUACUCGUAUUUAUCAUAAUUAUACGCGUUUGCCGGAAUUUGUAGAUUAGUAUCAAGCUUUUAUCCUAUUACUUGGUUACAUCAGCUGGUACUUUUUUGGUAUUUAGUCAAGUUUGUAAGCCUCUCCCAUUACAUAGUUACAUCAUCUGAUACUUAUGUGACGCCCCGACUUCCCAGGGGGUCACCCAUCCUAGGACUACUCCGGNACGGUUAAAAUCGAAUGACAUCCUAAAAAUGGAUGAUCGGAUCCUUCAAUUUAAGAUCGGAGUUAUUGAUCUUUAUUUAGGUAGUGAAUAGAAUUUUCUAUCAAAAAUUCAACCUAUUUCGAUUCUUUUUCACCGUUAAACUAGCAAAUAUCUCAUACCGGCCGUUAAAAAUUGUCAAUUUUCUGACCGUUUGAUCGUAAGGUAAAUGAUAUCGAAAAAUUAUAAAAUUUAAUUUCUAGAAGUUUUAAAUGCUCUUGAUAAUGUUUAACUGUAUGGAUCGUCGAUUCGGAAGCUCUAUCAUCGAAAACAACUUAUGAGUACGAAGACGAUCGUACUCAUAAGAGUAUAGUAGCUGGACUAUAUAUAUAUAUAUAUAUAUAUAUAUAAGAGAGAGAGAGAGAGAGAGAGAGAGAGAGAGAGAGAGAGAGAGAGAGUUGAGCUAGAAUACUAUCGAUAGCAAAUCGGCUCUUUUGCCACCCAUUUGUUUUCGAUGAUGGAGCUUCCAAAUUGAUGAUUGGCAUUGUUGAACAUGAUCUGUACCACUUGAAGUAUUUAGAAAUCAAAUUUCAUACAUUUCGAUAUUGUUCUCUUAUCCAUCGAGUUGACACAAAAAUGAACGGCUGAAAAUGAAUAUUCUUAAAAAAAUGAUAAUAGGAGUCCUGUAAUCAAGAUCAAAAGUAUAGAUCUUGUUUUAAAUAGUUUAAAGAAUUUUCUAAUAAAAAUUCAAUUGAUUUCAAUAUCUUUACACCGUUAAAUGAGAAAACGCGUCAUAACGACCAUUAAAAUUACAAAUUUUGAAACCCUUUGAUCAUUAAGCAAAUGAUGUCGAAAAGAUUUGAAAUUUGAUUUCUAGAUACCUCAAGUGAUAUAGAAUAUGUUCAAUGGUGCCGAUCGUUGAUUUGAAGGCUCUAUCAUCAAAAACAAAUGGGUGGCAGCGGAGCCCAUUUGCUACCGAUAGCAUUCUAGCUCAACUAUAUAUAUAUAUAUAUAUAUAUAUAUAUAUAUAUCAAAUUUGGGUCUGUCGACAGACCCAUUUUUAAGCGGGAAAAAUAUUGAUUCCUCUUUCCGUACGUAAAAUAAAUAACGUAAUGAAACAAACUUUUCAUUUAUAUUAAUCUCUAAAAUAGAAAAAAAUAUACUUAUCCAAAUUUUUACCAACAGAAAGAUAUUUACCGUGAAUCUAUAUUUUAAUUAAAAAAUUAUUUAAUUUUUUAUCUCUAAAAUAGAAAAAUAUUAUGCUUAUCCAAAUUUUUGGCAGAAUAUCUACAGUAAAUCUAUAUUUUAAUUCAAAAUUUAAAAUUAAUUUAAAAUUUAAAAUUUUGGGACUAUCAAUAUAUUACAAUGAAAAUAAUUUAAAAGAUAGAUUGGUUGAUACAUUUGUAAAUUAUAUUUUUGAAUUAAUAUGAUGUACAAAUUUAUGAUCAAUUUGUAAAAAAUUAUCUCAAAUAAGAACGAACGAUUAUGACUAAUUUUUUUAUAAAAACAUUUAUACUUAUCUAUAACUUCAAUUCUACGAAUGAGUAUGAUCAAUUGGUCAAAAAUAUUAAAAAUAAAAAUGACGGUUAUGAUCAAUCUGUUAAAAAAAGCACUUCUAACUAUUCAUUUUACAUUAAAAUUUAAAUUUGAGUUCAAAUCGUGAAUUAAAUUUAAUUUAAAAAAUAUAGAAAAAUAUCCAAUGUAUAUCUAUAUCUAUCGUAUAUAUAAAUUUUAUAAAAUAAAAAAAUAUAUAUACUUAUUGUUGACAACAACUAUUUAAAUUUGAGUUAGAAUAUAUAUAUAUAACAUGUAUUUUCUAAUAGUACAUAAUAAAUAAAUUUAUUUUUAAAAAAUAUUAUAAAUUUUUGAAUAAAUAUGAUGUACAAUUUCAUAUUAAUUUAAAAUAAUAAUUAAAUAAUUAAUUAUUACGUACAUUUAUACGUACACGCAACUAGUAUAUAUAUAUAUAUAUAUGUAAUAAUAUAAUCUAAAAUAAAUUCGAAUUCGGGUGGGGUGUACUUAAAAUUCAUAUCCGAAUUCAUAUUAGUCGAAUUUUUAUUUUUAAUAUUUAUAUUCAAAACUAUAUCUAUUUAGCAUAGAAUAAAUUUACUCCCGUUUUUAUUUGGAUUCUGAAAAAAAUUUAAGUAUCCAUACCCAUCGGCAUCCCUAAGCAUUACCCGAUCCCGCGGUAUAAAAGGAUCUCCUUGGGGCGCCGCAGCUCAGAAAACCCUAAUUCUUUGGUGGCGUCUUCAUCGAUCUCCCCAUCCGAGCAUGGCUGCGAUCGGAGAGCUUGCCUGCACCUACGCCGCGCUCAUCCUCCACGAAGAUGGCAUCCCAAUCACGGUAAUCGGUCCUCUUCUCCUCCUCUUUCUCUCUCUCUCUCUCUCUCUCUCUCUCUUUUAAUCUCUUUUUUUUUUAAAAAAAAACAAACUUUACUUGACUUGGAUCUGGAACGUUAAGCAGGCGGAGAAGAUCGCGACCAUUGUGAAGGCGUCGAACUUGAAGAUCGAUUCGUACUGGCCCGCGCUCUUCGCCAAGCUCCUUCAGAAGAGGAACAUCGACGAUCUCAUCUUGAGCGUCGGAUCUGGUUCUCUAUCUCCUACUACUACUUAUUCUACUACUACUCUCUCUUACCCUUCUUCUUCUUUUUUCUCUCUGUUUAUUGUUUGGCUUUCUUCAUGUAUUUACGCUUUUGCUGAUGGUUUUGCAGGCGGAGGCGGCGCUGCAGUUGCCGUUUCCGCUGCUCCGGCCGGCGGUGCUGGUGCCGCCGCUGCUCCUGCUGCCGCCCCUGCGGCCGAGGAGAAGAAGGUUGCCUUUGGUUUUUUUUCUUUUUUUUUUUUUUUUUCAACUCUUACUUCUGAUUUUUUUUUUUUUAUAUAUAUUUUGUUUUAUUUAUUUAUUUAUUUAUUGUUGGUUUCUUUUCCGCAGGAGGAGCCCAAGGAAGAGAGCGACGACGAUAUGGGCUUCAGCUUGUUUGAUUAGGGAGAGGAGGAGAAGAAGAGAGAAUUGUAGCUCUAAGAUUUUUUCCUUUCUUUUUUCUAUUAUCAGUCUUACGUAAGGUAAGAUACUGGUGCGCUUUUUUCCUUCUGUGUCCCUUAUCUUAGAUAUCAAACGGUUGUAUGGUAUGGUUUUUCUCGUUGAGAUUUUGAUACCCUUAUCAAAUCAUCAUCAUCAUAUGCUUUAUUUUGCAGUUUUGAAGUGACAAUCUGUUGAGCUUUAAGCUAUAUUGGGAUGCUGUCUUACUUUUGUUCCUUUAUUAUUAUUAUUAUUAUUCUUGAUUAUGGUAGAUCGCUAGAAAUUGGAUUGUAUUUUUCAUUGUUGAGGAUUGCGAGCGAAACUACAGAGCUGAAACUAGAAUCGAUCAAAAGCCGAUCCGUGUUCGUCAAAACAUAAAAUUCAAUUGAAUACAUCAAAUUGUUGUGAAAUUAAGUGUUACUCUGAUUCUAUCAAUCCAGCUAUGGCUAGUAGUAGCAAAUCUGUCUUUAGUAUUUUUCAUAUUGACUCGUGCCAACAGUUUCGUUUUAUAAUUCCUUGUUAAUUAUGACAAACAGCGCCGACUUCUUUGGUUCCACGAUCAUUUUGCCUUGCUAUAUUAGGGCGGUCAUUUUGUUACAAACUCACAGAUGUGAUGCUUUGGAUUCUUAAACCUGUCGGAAUUUUCCUUUAUUUGCUAGAAUGGGGACGGUGCCAUGUAUGUCCUUAAACAUUAAAUUAAAUGGGUCAUCAAAGGACAGUGCUCGGAAGGGAAUGUAUAACUAGUUUGAAGGCAUUUCCUAUUUUACGAUUUUGUUUUGCGUGCCGCAAUAUUUUGGUUUGUUCCCUUUUAUUAUAGUUGCGGAAUUAUAUUGCAAAAGCUUUUUACUACAAAACUCGUUGUUUAGCACAUUUGCAUUUCACUGCCCUGUGGUUACAUUUGUUGCAUACCCUGUGGUCAGUAUUCAGUUAUGCUUCAAGGAUCUUCUUUUAAUGGCUUGUUAGAAUUAGCUUGCUUGGAUAAUGAGGUGGUCGCAAUUUCGACCAUGCGCAUGUAUUUGAAGUUGUUUUGUGACCCUUACAUGCCAUUUUCAAAUGUGCCGCUUCCACGAGGUCCGUCCUUAAUUAUGCCACCCUAAAACAGUUUAAAGCUAAGAAUUAGUUAGGUGCAACAAAUAAAACCAUAAGGAGGUAGUGAAAUGCAAGUGCUCUGAAGCCACAAGAGCAGUAUUUAAAAUUCUUACUGCUUAUCAGUAAUACAUGGUUGCAGUUAUAAACCUCUGUUCUAAACAGUUGUUGGCUUUUGUAAUUGUAAGAAGGGUUUGCAAGGGCCUGUUUUGCAAAUGUAAAUCAUCAUAAUCAUUAUUAUUAUUUUCUGUGACAUUUAAAUACAGCUAGCUAGGAUUGUUGUUGUUAUUAGGAGGGGGCGAUAUCAAGUUAUUUUUGCAUUCUUAGUCACUUUUGUCUUCCGGUUUUGCUUAGAUUAGAAGAAGUUUGGUUUCAUGUCGGGUUCUGGUUUGCUUAUAUGUUUCUAAUCAUCUAGGUUUAUUGUCAUUCAGUUAUCAGGUUCUUUGUGUUCUGGGACAUGUAUUUUGGGCUUACUAUUGUAUAGUUACAAGUUAUUUUUUUCCUUAUAUUUGAUGUUCAAUGUAGAUCUGAGCUUACUAUUGUAUAGUUAUACUGGAUGUCCAAAUUGGUCGCAUUUUGCAUCUGCAUCAACAGUGGCUAAUGAGGAUAUUUUACGUCAGGGGGUUAAUUGCUGUAUCCAAUUAUUACUUUUUGAAGAAAGCUAAAUAAUAUAUUUCGAGAAAGGGUUUCUGUACAUCUCUAUGCAUUGUGGAUCGUUCUACUAUUUUAUGUAUAAAUUGAGAAAAUUUAAAAAUUUCAUUUUUUGCUGUAUGUAAUCAAAUUAAACAAUUUGUAGCAACCGUAUAACUUGUAGGUGAUAUAAGUAUCUAGGGUUCAGCUCAAGAAUUUCUUGCUUUAAGAGCAUUAGGGUAUUUAGGUUUUACGAGUUUUGGAGAGGUUUUACCUUAUUCUCGAAAGGUCCUAGUGACCCUUGAUUUUUCCUAAAACUAUUUUCCAUGAAUCCCCAAGAUUGAUGAGUAUUUAAACUUGAUUUUGAGUACAUUGGUUUUCUUGGGCAUUUUAAGUGGACUCUUUGGAGGUUUUGUUGGUCGUAUUGGAAAAUUGUCGACUUUGUUUUUGAAUGUUUGUUUUGCGGAAUUGAUCGCAGGUUCUUGUUUUCUCAAACUCCCUCUUGAAUUGGUGAUUCAAGUUGGCACUGCUGGAAAAGUCGUAUGGGACUUGGUUUUGGAACCAGAGAUGUUGUUCUUGAACCAUCCAGUGUAGCAGUGCAGGUAGAGAGUACUGGUUAUGUGAAACUUGAUGAUAGGUUCCGAGACCUGGUUAUCCUUUCAGAACCUCAGCACCAAGUUCUGGAACUCAGCCUCCAAAUCCUUGAAACUUUAGUUUGGGUGGAUUCUUUGGUCGGAAUUUGCACCCUAGAGUCAGUCGUGUAUGACUUGUGUGUUCUCCUUUGGACGGGGUGAGGGUGAGGAGCUGAGCAUAAGCUGUAGACAUCCCAUGAAUAUUGUGAGGUUGGUGCACUCUCUGAAUUGGGUUUAGCAACACCCGGUUUGCUUAACCUUGCCUAUCUACCCCUUGAUAUUAAUUAUUGUGGUCUCAGUAUGGUUGUUCUUUGAGUUUUGCAUACCUAUGUAUUAAUAGUAUCUUUUCAUGCCUAUGCUUCAUGCUUGUAUAUUAAGUACUUGUCGUCGGCUCGGCAACUCUUCCUUUAACAUUUCGUUAAAUUAUAUAAAAAAAUUUUAGAUACCUCACUUAGGUUUAUCGAAUAUUCACUUUAGUAUUUUUUAGUUUUAAUUUUGUCACUAAUUUAAUAAAAAAAAUUAGUGGAGGGAAUAAUAAAAAGAGAAAAAUAAAAUCAUGAGGUACUAAAUUGAUACGCUUUAAACUAUAUGAUAUUAAAAUAAAAAAGUACAAAAUUAUAUGGAUGGUAUUUGAACUUUUUCAAAAAAUAUAUAUAUACAUAUUUUUUAUUUUAUUCAUUUUAUGCAUUAAUAAGCUACGACUCAUCAAUUUAGUAAUAAGGAUGUUACAUGAUGACAUGCCAGACUUAAUAUUAAAAAUACCGAAUGCUUAAAAAGAGACAACAGAUAUUAUCCGCGAGAUAAAGAUAGUUGUAGGUGUGAAGGACAAUACUAAAGGCCUGUUUGGUUUAUGAUUUGUAAUAUUUCGAUGACCCCUGAUAUUUUAUAUUGAAAAUAUUUAAAUUAUCACCAUUUAAUUCAAAUUAGAUAGUUGCAAAAGAUAGUAACAAGGUAGUAUAUUCAUUAAAAAUUUCUAGUUGGUACUAGAUUAUCAUAACUUAUGAGGCAUUUUCAUAUCCGUAUUUCAUGAAAAUUAUUAGUAGAUUAUUAAUAAUAAUAAUAUAUUAGUUCUUGAUGAUCCGUCCAUUAAUUUUAAAAGGUAGUAAUAAAUUUGUCAUUUCAAAUAUAAAAUAUACAGUAUUUUCAAUACAUUAAAAUACUUGAAUCAAAUUUCCCCAAAGGUUAGUGAGAUUGGGCCUGACAUAAUGGACAUACAUAUGGUACAAGAAAUUAGGGACAGAAGUGAAAAACUAGGUAAAGAUUAGAUACCAAUGAUGCUAUGAGUUCUGCAGGUCAAUAAUCGAAUUGAUAAAACAAGAAAAAAAAAUGGUAAAAAUCUUAACGUAAAAUUGGGUAAAAGUUAGUGCUCACUGAAGUAAUUUACCACUGAAUUUAAUGAUUCUCCUAAAAUUUGAACUUAUUCGAAACAAUAUCAAAAUGUGUAGAAAUAAAUAACGUAAUUCUUUUAAAAGGCUUUUUUUUUUUUUUUUUUUUUUUUUUUUUCUCAAAUUAGGUUUGUUGAAAUUUUAAUUUGUUAAAAUAAGCUUGUGAAACUCUUAUUUCUAAAAAUAAACCUAAACUAGCGGCAUGUGCACUAGUGAAAUGCAAGUGCUCUGAAGCCACAAGAGCAGUAUUUAAAAUUUUGCCCUUAUAUACAAGAAAGCUCUGUUAGUCGCACCAUCAGUACUGAUUGUCAGUAAAACGUGGUUGCAGUUAUAAACCUCUGUUCUAAACAGUUGUUGGCUUUUGUAAUUGUAAGAAGGGUUUGCAAGGACCUGUUUUGCAAAUGUAAAUCAUCAUAAUCAUUAUUAUUAUUUUCUGUGACAUUUAAAUACAGCUAGCUAGGAUUGUUGUUGUUAUUAGGAGGGGGCGAUAUCAAGUUAUUUUUGCAUUCUUAGUCACUUUUGUCUUCCGGUUUUGCUUAGAUUAGAAGAAGUUUGGUUUCAUGUCGGGUUCUGGUUUGCUUAUAUGUUUCUAAUCAUCUAGGUUUAUUGUCAUUCAGUUAUCAGAGGUUCUUGGCUGUGUCCCUUGUUGGGUUUAGAUUAAGAACUUGCGAGGAAUUUUGAGCAAUAAUUCCUCAUACCAUCCAUCUUCAUAGGUUCAUUCAUUUGCAGAGGGACGAUGUAAGUCCGUGUGUCAGUUAAUUUGAAUGCUCAGAGAUUUAUACUGCAUGCGGAUGGAUGAUCUUACUGCAGUUGGUAGCUCUGCAGUUCAUUUGAAUAAGUAAAAUUUCUGAAGUUUGGUUGUGUUUUCUCUCUGUUAUCUUACUUUACUUCUCUCUCUCUCUCUCUCUCUCUCUCUCUCUCCAGCUUUAGAGGGGGUAAUUGUUUGUCCAAAGUUGAUGCUGAUGGUGAGUUUUGUUUCUGAAGUUUUAUUGUACUUUCUUAAUUCAUCUUAUGCGGACGGUGCUUGGCCCAAUCUGCAACUGCAGAAUCACAUUUAGGAAGAGCUGCGCGCUUGCAGCUUUCCCCAACAUUUAUGUGGUGCCGCCUGCUGUUUGAGCCGCACUGCUCCGCCAAAUCAGGCAAUUGGAGUUUUGAAUGUGUUGUUUGUAUUUGAUCUACGUAUUACCGACAUUUUUAUAAAAUUCGCUUGUCCGUGUCGAACACGCACGUGUCUGUGUCAAACUUAUGUCCGAUAUGGACACUCUUUGGAUGCACGUGUCUGUGUCGGACUCAUGUCUGACGUGGACACUCCUUGGACGCGCAUUUAAUAUCGAUUUAUAGCGCAUAUAUUAAAAAGGGUUAAAUGCAUACAGGUCUCUGCAAACAUAGUCAAUUGCGGAAAUAUCCUUGCAAAACGGAAACUCCAUAAGUUAUCCCUGCAAAAGUCUAAAGUUAUGCAGAUAUGUCCCUGCCGUUAAGGACUGUUAGAAAAUUUUCGUUAACCACGGUUAAAAUACUUAACCAUGGUUAAUUAUAACGUAAAUUUACGAUUCUACCCUUCUUCUUCUUCCCCCUCAUCUUCUUCCCUCUUCUUCGUCGCCGGCGAGGGCGGCGGCGGCGGUGGCGGCGGCGGCAGCGACGACGGCGGCGACGGCGAACCCUCUCUCUUUCUUUUCCUCCUUCUUCCUCUCCCUCUUCCCUUUUCUCCCUUCUUCUUCCUCUCCCUCUUCCUCUUCCCUCUUCUUCAUCGCCGGCGAGGGAGAAGAUGCGACGGCGGCGGCGAACCCUCUCCCUCUCCCUCUUCUUCUUCCUCUCCCUCUUUCUUUUCCUCUUCUUCUUCCUCUUCCCUCUUCUUCGUCGCCGGCGAGAGAGGAGAUGCGGCGGCGGCACGCGGCGACGAACCCUUUCCCUCUUCAUCUUUCUUUUCCCUCUUCCUCUCCCUCUUCCUCUCCUUCUUCCUUUUCCCUUUUUUUCCUCCUCUCAUUCUUUCUCUUCCCUCUUCUUUGUCGCCGGCGAGCUCGACUCGCGCCGUCGCCGCCAUCCGCUCCGGCGGCCCGAAGAGGAAGAGGAAGAGAAAGAGAGGGGGAAGAUGCUUUUGGAGGGAUAUAUUUGUGAGGGCAAAAUAGUCAUUUCACAUGAAAACUGUUAAAAAAUAAACAGUUCUCUAACAGAUGUUAAUCAGAGGGACAUAUUUGCAUAAAUUAGGACUUUUGCAGGGACAGCUUAUGUAGUUUCCGUUUUGCAGGGAUAUUUCUGCAAUUCACUAUGUUUGCAGGGACGUGUAUGCAAAUAACCCUAUUAAAAAAAUAGAGUAAACUUCAAAUACCACCUUUGUGGUUUUAUAUUUUUCACUAUAGUACCCUAUAGUUUAAAAUGUAUCAAUUUAGUAUCCCGUAGUUUCAUUUUUCUCUUUUCAUCACCUCGGUAGCUCUUCCGUUAACAUUUCGUUAAAUUAUAUAAAAGAAAUUUUAGAUACUCCACUUAGAUUUAUCGAAUAUUCACUUUAGUAUCUUUUAGUUUUAACUUUGUCACUAAUUUAACGAAAAAAAAUUAGUGGAGGGGAUAAUAAAAAGAGUAAAAUAAAAUCACAUGAUACUAAAUUGAUACACUUUAAAUAUUUUAUUUUAUUUAUUUUAUGCAUGUAUAAUGUAAGAUGAUAAAUAUUUUAGUUUUUUGAUUCAUAUUUUUUUGGGUAAUAUAAAUAAAUUAUGUUUAGUGAGAAAUUUUUUUCUUAAAAUAUAUGAAUUAUCAAUAAAAAUUUUAGUAAUUUUCAUUCAUACGAAAAAUAUAAUAAUAUUUUACUAAAAUUUAUAUUUUAUAUAUAAUAAAUAAUAUAAGGAGUGUUGCUUCAACAAUCGUAGUCAAUGUGAUUAACUUUACAUCUGGGAUUAUUUUUAUAUCUGAGAUUAUUUUUUAUACCCAUGUAUAAGAUAAAAAAAGGAUUAAUUUUAUAUAGCUCGCUAAAAAUAUAGUGAAUUAUAAAUAUAUCCCUACAAAGUUCAACUUUUAUAUGUUGUUCCUAAAAAAGUCUUGAUAUUUUCAAAUAUAUUCCUGCCGUUAGGAUCUGUUAGAAAAAAUUAGUUAAUCAUAGGUAAAAUACUUAAUCUUAGUUAGUUAAUGAGGUGAAUUGAAUUUUUAAUCCCUCUUUAAUUAAUAGUUGGGACUUUUGGAGAUAUAUAUUUGUGAUGCCGAAUAGGUCAUUCACUUAUAAAAUAAAUAGUGUUUUAAUAGUAACAGACCAGAGUGACAUAUUUUAAAAUAUUAGGACUUUCACAAAAACAAUAUAUAAAAAUUAAACUUUGUAGAGCUAUAUUUGCAAUUUACUAUAUUUGCAGGGACCUGUAUGAAAUUAACCCAAAACUGAAAAAAAAUUAUUGUUUUCAAUUAGUGAGUUUAACUUUACAUCUGGGGUAUUUUUUCUAUUCAUAAUUUUUAUUUUUUUCCAAUAAGAAGUUUCUAUACGUUAUGGAUCUCUACAUGUUAUGGAUCGUUUUACUAUUCUAUAUGUGAAUUGUUAAAUUUUAAAAAAAUUAUUUCCUAAUUCUACAUUAUGAAUAAAAAAACAGAUAAGAAUAGAGUAAGAUGUUGGUGGUAUAAAAUAUACAAAUGUUGUUUACAUUCUUUAGUACAACAUCAAAGGUGAUGUCUUAAAUAAUUUCGAAAAAUAAACAAAUCUAAAUUAUAACAUUUGCUCUUAACUUUAAUCUUUGAAUUUAUUUUUAAAGUUGAACUAUAUUUUAAAUUUGAUUUGAAAUCAUGAAUUUAAUUUCACAUCAAGAAUUUUAUUUAUAAAUUCAAAUUCAACAAAAAUUUUUAAAUUCAUAUUUAUAAAUUUCAACCAACCUAAUUAGACAAAAAAAAAAUUAAUACAGAGGAUAAAUAAGACACUGGCUAGCAUACUAGCGUUUUUUUUUUUAUAAAAUGUACAGAAACUUUCUAAACUUUAGCACUUUUAAAAAUAGGCAUCUCAAUUUUCAAUUAUGACAAUUAUAUGUAAACUUUAUCAAAUAGUUCAAGGCCAAUUAGCAUAAAAAAUCCACAAGUUUUAAGUUUUUACAAAACUGGGCCACCUUUUUCAAUUUUGCAGAUUCGGUCUGAAUUUUCAGCGAACUGAUCAAAAGACCCUUAUACCUUUUUCUCUCUCCUCUUUUUUUCUUUUUUCUUUUUUUUCCCUCUCCGAAGAAGGCGGCAAAGGUGGAGGCGGAAACAGCCCGCCUCACCUAUGCCCCUCACGCCCUCGUCCUCGCCCACGCACGCCCCUCCCUCCUCGCUUCCGACCCCGUCGAAGCCGCGCCGCGACCUUUUUUUAUUUUUUAUUUUUCUCUCCGACCCUCCUCGACCCGCAGUUCCCACUGCCGCCGCUGGUGACAAAGAGGAAGUGCUUCUCGGGGUCCAGAAGCACAUCGGCGAGAGAGGGGGAGAAAAAUAGUUACACUCCGACGAGAAAAAGAAAAUAAGAAUAAUAAAAAAUAAAAAAAUUUCUACAGAAAAGAUAAAAAAUCAUAGAAGAAUGAAGAAGAAAUGAAAUUGCACUGUUAAAAAAAAAUUACACUGUUUUAAAAAAAAUUUGCACUGUUUUAGAUAAAAUUGCACUCUUUGAAAUAGAAAUUACACUAUUUUGAAAUAAAGAGUUACACUCUUUAGACGAAUGUUGCACUAUUUGGAUGAAAUUUACACCAUUUCUCCUUUCCCACAUCUUUCUCCUUCUUCCUCCUCCUUACACGAUUUCUCUUUCCACCCUAGUUAGAGCCGCGAGGCCCUCGACCCCGCCGACCGCCUCACCGUGCUCCGCCUGGCCCUCGACGCCGCCGACACCGACUCGGCCAGGACCCCGAUCGCGGAGGAGAUGGAGAGCGUGACGCGGCAAGGAGAUGGUUCGAAAAAGGAGCGGCUGCUGGUGGUGCGCGAUCGCAGACUCGCUAGUGGCGGGCGCUGAGGAGGUCUUGGCCGCUGCCGAGGUCCUCCUCGCCGCCUUGUCCUCCUCCUCCUCCUCCCGCCCCGACUUCUACGCCCUCAACGGCCUUCCCGUCUUCGCCUGUGGCGACUCCUCCUCCCUCUGCCUCCACUACCGUCGCCUCGCCCUCCUCCUCCGCUCCCUUCACUCCCCCCCGGCCGCCGAGGCCUGCUGCCUCGUCGUGCUCCGGCGACGCUGACGUUGUUGGUGAUGCAGAACCCGUUCCUGGUGCGGUCAGAGGCGGGGCUGGCGACGCGGAGUUCCUCUCCCUCUCCGACCUCCGCCGCCUCCCCGCCUUCGGUAGGGCCGUCACCACCCUUUUCCAAACCACCGGCCACCCCCCCUCCGACCUCGGCACCGUCAACCACACCUCCCUCAAUUCCUCCUCUGUUGUCCUCGUUCGCUCCCCGACGCCCUUCUCUCCCUCCUCCGCCAACUCCAACGCCACCGUACUAGGCCUCGUCACCUCCCUCCCCUACGACGUUAGCGUCUUUGUUGUUGACGCCCUCCUCGUCCUCUACAACUUUAACCUCGCCGCGUCCAAUACCCGCCCCCCCAUCGACGUCAACAUCACACGGGUGCUCGUCGAGGCGCACGGGUUCAACGUCGCCGCAUCCAUGCUNCCCCCCCGUCGGCGUCAACAUCACGCGGGUGCUCGUCGAGGCGCGCGGGUUCAACGUCGCCCCGUCCAUGCUCAAGCGCCAGCGCCGGCAGAGAAGGGGGGCAGUGGCGCGAGAGGUGCUUGACGGUGACGGUGACGGCGACGGAAAAGGUGGAGGAGGAAGAAGAAGAGAGUAAGAAAUCGUGUCCAAAUAGUGCAAUACUAGUCUAAAGAGUGUAACUCAUCAUUCCAAAGAGUGUAAUUUUUAUUUCAAAUAGUACAAUUUUAUCUAAAACAGUGCAAAUUUUUUUAACAGUGUAAUUUUAUUUUAACAGUGCAAUUUCAUAUUCUUCAUUCUUCUAUGAUUUUUGGUCUUUUCUAUAGAAAUUUUUUUUUAUUUUUUAUUAUUCUUUUUUUUUUCUCGCCGAAGUGUAACUAUUUUUCUCCCCCUCCCUCGCCGGCGUGCUUUUGGACCCCUAAAAGCACUUUCUUUUUGUCGCCGGUGGCGGUAGUGGGGUCCGCGGGUUGAGGAGGGUCGGAGAGAAAAAAAAAAAAAAGAGUCGCGGUGCGGUUUCGACGGAGUCGGAAGCAAGGAGGGCGGGGGGUGCGCGGGCGAGGGCGAGAGCGUGAGGGGCAGAGGCGAGGCAGGCCGUUUCCACCUUCGUCUCCGCCGCCUUCUUCGGUGAGGGGAAAAAAAAAACGAAAGAAAAAAAGAGAAGAAAGAAAAAGGUAUAAGAAUAUUUUGGUUAGUUCGCUGAAAAUUCGGACCGAAUCUUCAAAAUUGAAAAAACUCGCUCAGUUUUAUAAAAGCUCAAAACUUGUGGAUUUUUUAUGCAAAUUGGCCAGUGUUCAAUAUGCCAUUUACCUUAAUUAAAGUUAUUUAUUACACAAUUAUUGUAGUGGUAUAUAUUGUACAUAAUUUUAUAAAGGUUUAAAAUAUAAAUAAAUUUUAAGUUUGCAUUCUAACAUGUUAAAAAAAAGCGAUGAAAAUUAAAAUUUGGUUCAACCUAUUCUUCACUUGUCGCGCUUUAUUAUCGAAACUGGAAGAGAAAAAAUAAUUCUGUUUGUGAUAAUAAGUUCACUAGAGGAUUGUGUAAUUCACUAAAAGGAAAGGGUCUAUUGAACCUUUUGAUAAAAUUUAAAAAAUAUAAUUAUUAAAAUAAGGAAAAACUUCAAAUAACCCCCUCGUGGUUUCGCACUUUCUCACUUUAGUACUAUGUGGUUUAAAGUGUAUCAAGUUAGUACCCUGUGGUUUCGCACUUUCUCAUUUUAGUACCCUGUGGUUUCAAAUGUAUCGUGGUUUUAUUUUUGUAUCAAGUUAGUAUCUUAUAGUUUCAAUUUUCUCUUUUUAUUAUCCAUUUCGGAGUAUAUAAUUUAACGAAAUAUUAAACCACAUGAUACUAAAGUGAGAAAGUGCGAAGCCACAAGGUACUAAAGUGAGAAAGUGCGAAACUGUAGGGUACUAACUUGAUAAACUUUAAACUAUAUGAUACUAAAGUGAGAAAGUACGAAACCACAGGUGAUAUUUGAAGUUUCCCCUAAAAUUAAAAAAUGCAGGC